Molecule: long non-coding RNA, 86070 nt
Filed under: Eucalyptus grandis
Lineage: Eukaryota; Viridiplantae; Streptophyta; Magnoliopsida; Myrtales; Myrtaceae
Description: long non-coding RNA (EGRA_LNC000122)
Source: RNAcentral
CCUCUUUACAAUAUGCAUCCACCAGAAUAUUGAAGGUUUGAACAUUCGGCAUGACUUUGCUUUGCACCAUAUGACUCAGCAGUCUUUGGGACUCUUUCAAUUGGCCGGAAUUGCACACUCCUUGAAUGACAGAGGUAUAAGUAACGACGUUCGGUUCAAUUCCUGCCUCCAUCAUCUUCUCCAUCAAGACCGUAGCAUCUUUCCAUCGGCCUAGGUUGCAUAAGCAAUGAACCAAGGAGGUAUAAGUGAAUAUAUCGGGUCGGAUGCCUCUGCUCGUCAUCUCUUUCAACAAUAAGAGAGCAUCUUCCAUCUGGCCUACAUUGCACAGACCGUGGAUCAAGGAGGUAUAAGUAACAACAUCUGGUUCGAAACCUUUCUUACUCAUGCGUUCGUGAAGUCUCAAGGCCUCUGCGAUCAAUCCCUCCUUGCAAAGACUAUCUAUUACUAUGUUGUAUGCGAAGGAACCGAGCCUGCAGCUUCCCUCCUCCCAGUCCCUCAGCAAUUCAACGGCCAAUCUGGUGUUACCCGCCCUGCAUAACCCUUUCGCAAUUAUUGCAUACGUGGUCUCAUUAGGUUCUGGGCCUUUUCGUUGCAUAUCAUCGAGGAAACUCAACGCUCGAUCAGUUUCGCCCUUUAUAAGGAAACCAUCAAUUAGGGUGUUCGAUGCCACCACAUCGAUGUGAAACCCAAGCUUCAAGAUUCUGCCCAGGAUAGACAAACCAAAGUCAACCCGCUCUAACCGGCAGAAGCAAUUCAACGAAAUAUUCAGCCAAAAGUGAUUGUCUUCAAUCCCCAACGAAUGCAGCUGCUGGAUCAAGCGGAUGGCAAUCGAGUAGUGCUUCAUCCUCGCUAUAGCACCCAACAGAAGACUGAAAUCUCUGGGGGAAGGCAAAGGGUCGGUGUUGAUCAUUUUACCGAAGCAACGCAGGGCAUCGUCGACACUCGAAAACCCACCGCCACCAGCUCUGCAAAAUUUCCUCACGUAACUCAAGAGCUGGCUCGGGUCGUCUAAAUUAGGGUUAGGGAUCGAAGAAAACCUCCGGCGAUCGCGAAACGAGAAACGGGCACGCGAGAGAUGAGGGAGGGAGAUGGAGAGUGGAAUGGGAUGAUGAAUCGCUGGAGAUCGCAUCUUGAGCACGAAGGAGAAGAAAGACGGGAGCCCCAUGAACACACAAACCUAACCAAGGCGACUCCUAUCAGCUUACGGGUGCUUGAAAGACUCCUUUUCGAUUUCCUUUAAAACGAGUGAGUGAUAAGAAAAACAAAAUAAAUGCAUUAGAAGUUUUAAAAUUUAUCAUAAAAAUGUAAUUAAGUUUUAAAAUUUUUAAAAAGUAUAAUUAAAUCCUAAAGUUUAUUAAAAAAUAUAAUUAAGUCCUAAAAAUUUUAUAAAAUACAAUCAACUCCUAAAACUUAUCAAGGUGAUUCAAUUUAAGUCUUUUCAUUGAUUACUUUUUUUGAAAGUUUUGAGACUCGGUUACAUGUUCGAGACAAAUUUUAGGAUUUUAUUGAACUUUUUGAAAAUUUUAAGAUUUAAUUGAAUUUCCGUGACAAGUUUUAGGAUUUAAUUGUACUUUUUAAAAGUUUUAAGACCCAAUUACAUUUUCAUAAUAAGUUUUAAGACUUCUAAUAUACUUAUCCCUAAGAAAAACUAAGGUAGAAUCAUUUUAGUGAAAUUCAAAUUAUUACACACUUGUUUAAACAAAAAAUCUAUGCAUAAAUUGAUGAAAAAUAUUUCGCCCUUUAGAACAUCGAAAAUUAUUUUCCAAAGGAGUUACUAGACAUCUGCAUUUUGGAACAAAAACUCUACUUGUGCAUGAGAGAUCUAAGACUCAUUUCUAAAACCCUUGUUCAUGUGCUUAAUUUCUCAAAAGUCCAUACGCAAGUCAUUGGCACCCGAAUAGUGUAAAUGUAAUUAGGAAAAUCAAAUUAGAUCUUACUUUUCAAAUGACAAAAAAUAUGUUUCGAUUUUGUUUUUUCAAAUUCCACCCAAACUUAGAAAAUCGACUUCCUUGAAAUUAGAAAUGUAACAUUUUGCAUUAAACAAAUAGAGUAUUUGAGAAAAAUCUUAGUAAAUUGAUGACCAGAUUCUAUAGGUAGACUCGAGAACUUUUCAAUAAACAAAGAGGGUGGACAACCAUUGCAAUUACUUUUUAAUAUCUUUCAACUUAGAUCUUUUUUUUACCCCUAAAAAUUGAGCUAGGACACUUGUGGGUUCUAGGCCAACGAGUGGUUCGACCAACUUGGAGAAAGAGACAACUUUGAUGGUAAUGUCGUAUUCCUCAUCUCCACCAAAAAUGAAUGUUAAGGUGAUCAGGCUCCAAAAGUGUGCCAUCGCUUGUAUGAGACUCGCUUGACACUUAACCCGAAGAAGAGAUAUGAGGUAACCAAUACUUUUUUCCACAGCGUUGGUCUCCUUGGUCUAUAAUUUAUCCAUCAUGCCAAGAGGGUCCUUGGGAGCGAGAAUGAUUUAACUAUUCAAUCUUCCUAUUAUAUCUAAAUCACAAAAGACAUUUUACCCGAUCACCGUGGAUUACAAAUAUAAACUUUGAAAACUUAAGUUGAUGAAGUAGAAGAAUUUUAAAAAAGUAUGUAACAUACUUAUAGCGUCCGAUGAGAAGGGUUUUCAAUCAUAUAAGUACAUAGAUAUACUUGUGAGAUUCGACGCAUAAAGUUGGGAUAUACUAUAGAUUCAAGAAUCCCUUCCUAACGAAACACUAAAUAUAUCCUAAUCUCGCUAAUUGGAUGGGUUCAACUUUUCUCUUGUGAGAUGAGCAGGGUCAAGAAGGAUUUGAUUAUGCUAGUUAUCUAACUAGUACAUUUCAUUACCUACACUUGAUUAUUUGUCAAUUGAAGUGUCAACACGACCUUUCACCAAAAUAUGAAUUCUUAGGUUCUUAACCGUUAAAAGCACGAAUGAUAACAAUUAUGUUUUAGAAAUCAAUUUUUGUUCCACAAAUAGAUUUCUCUAAUUUUAUUUUUGGGACGAUUGUCUGAGUAAAAAUAGCGUUUGAUGACAACAUAAAAUUUCUAUUUCAAGAAUAUAAAUUCUUUUACUAAUGAUACAAAAUUUCUCCUUCUUGAGUUGCGGCGAUGGCAUCGACCAAUGGACGACUAGUGGCAAUGGCAGCAACCAAUGGAUGACUGGCAGUGGUGGUGAUUGGCAAACAACAAUGGUGGAUGGCAGGCGACAGCAAGUGGGCAGCCGACUAGUAGCGAGGGUGAGCGAGAAAAAGAGUUUUUAUUUAUUAUUUUUAUUACAAAAUAAAAAAGUAGAAAAUUUUAACUUCUCAUUAAUAUUCCAAGCCCAUUUCUAGACUAAAAAUUUGUUCUAAAAAUAGAAAAAAUAAAAUUGCAUUACAAAUGGAUUUCUAUUCUACACCUAUUCUUGGGAGUAGAAAAAUAGUUUUAGCUAGAAAUAAAAUGUUUAUCACGUGCGUCUAAGUGUCAAUGUAAUGUUUUUGUAUUUAUUUAUAAUCCCAAAGUGUAACCUAAACAUUCAACGAAAACAAACAAAUCAAAACUUAGAAAAAGCAACAUAGAAGGGACACAAUCAAUUGAUUUAAAAAAGUAAUGAAAGAACAAGUAAAAAGUAAAGUGCAAUAAAGUAAUCCAAUACAAGUUAGGCAAACAAUAUAACAUGGCCUUGUAACUUUCACCAAAUUAUUUAUUACAAUUUUUUAUUUUACUACCCUUUUUAUAUUUUUUUUUGUUCUAAUUUUUUUUUAUUAUUAUUUUUUUAUUCUAAUAAAAGGGGCACCGAGCUGCUCAAUCCGGACAUGGGCCAUACGUGGCCUCGCCAAUCUAGGCCGGAAACACCAAGGAGUUCAAUCCAGAUGUGGGUCUUACUAUGGCCUCGUGGACCUAGGUCGACAACAUCAAUGAGCCCUUAUAACAAAAAUUGGAAUCGGCUCAAAGUCACCUAAACUAAGCCUAGCCCAAACUUUCUAAAACCCAAAACACCCUAAUAUAUUAAAACUAAAUCAAGCCAAUUUUAAGCUCAUUUUAUUAUUUUCUUUUUUUCCCAAUAUUUUUUCGUCUUUUCUUUAUUCAUUAUUUUUGCUUUUCAUUUCUAUUCAUCCCUCUCAGUAUCUCCUUCGAUCUGCAAACCAAGAUCACAUAACCAAAUAUAGAAGUUCCAGCAAAUUGAAAGUCUUCAAUGGAGGUUAACUAAAUUUAUACUGCUUCCCCGGCAGUCUUCACCGGUGACCACCUCCAUUGGCCGCCAGACCACCACUAUCAGCCACAAUCAAAGAGUUGCAGAAAUUUAGAGUGUGGAUAGGAAAAAACAAAUUGAGAUGGAUGCUUCUGGAGAUCCACGCUUAAGCCAUCAACUCCCAAUCAUUUCUCUAGCAACUUAUGUCAGCCAACAUCAGGAGUUUAAUGCAGAAAACAGAGCAACACAACAAACGGCGAUGUUAUUCUCAAUUUCAUGUUCAAGUUUCGCAAAACAACAAUGAUAUAUAUGAAUCUAAAAUUUCUAUUGAUAUAUAAGCAUUAGUGAACCUUUCAGUCAACAGAUAUAAUCAACUCUCUCUCUCUCGAAUACAUUUUGCGGCUUCAUGGACACAUUUCAACAAAAAACUUUCAUGCAACGAAAUUACUAAGUCUAAUCAUGGCAUUGAAAUGGUUUCUCAUCUAAAAUCAGCAUUAGAACAACAACGCCUUCACACAUCGUUAAAAGAAGUCUCAGAUUAAUUCAAAUUCUUGAUGAUUUAUAUUCAAACAACAUGAAUACAUCUCAAUUUUGUGAAUCACUGAAACAGAGCAAUGAAAUUACCUGUUCACGAAACAAUAUGAAGCUACGAUUUCUGACUGAAUCAAGGAAGAAAACUAGAGAAAGUGGCACCAGCAUAAAGGCUUUAGGUAAAAUCCGAACUUUCCAGCAUCUCUAACCGGAGCAGAGCAAAGCAGGAUCAAUGGUAAUCAACUAUUGGCAUUGAUCAAUGGCAAUGAAUCGAAAGUAAAUGAUGCCAAAGGUCUAAAUUCAGCUCUCUCAGAUAGGUCACCACACAUACGACUUCAGAUCCUCCAUGAGCAUGUGUCCUGCGAUUGACCGCACAAGCAAGUGAUGGGUUGUGGCUAGAACAAAACACAAAUCAAAAUCACGACUGCACACUUCCAGAGCCCUGAUUAAAUAACCAGAUAUUCAAGCUCCGUCCAUAAGUAGAUAUAUACCGGUUUUUAUCUAUGUACGCCACCUUUUGGCUAUAUAUUAAGUAACCAGAUAUGGUUUUUUUUUUUUUUUUUUUCCAAUUUUCAAGGAAUACCUUGAUGCAUUGAAGAUAAGAAAAUUUCUUGUGAGCAUGUUUGCCAAGUAUUCAUCGAGAUAGUCAAUAACAUGAUCCUACGAAUAAAUCUUUUGACUAUUUCUUUAGAUAUCUCAUCUAUUUCGUGAGCUCCAGCAAGGGAUAUCAUGUUAUGCAUGUGAAUAUAACGGUUUACUUAAAUUUGUGAGUACUAGUCAAGCUAAGAUUGAAUAGGUCAAAUGUUAUCCAAUAGAGGAUGUAAAAAGAAUAAACAAGGAUUUAAAGAAUAAGCAAAGGAAUCAAGAAUCUUCUUGAUUAAAUUGUCUAGAAUUGUUGUAGUCAAUGAAUGAUAACUCUAGAGAAAUAGACGGGCCUUAAAUGAGAGUAUAAGAUGAAAAAAGACAAGAGCAACAUCAUCGACAUACAUUGAAUAUUGAGAGACAAUUAAAACCCUUAAUAAUUCCAAAAAAAGAAAAAUCAGGAUUACCAAUGAUUCGUGAAAGAGAGUGACAAAUUUGUGUAUGCUUAAAUCAUACAAUUGUGAGCAACUGUUGCCCAAGUACUAAAAACGGCACGUUAGACAAAAAAAAAGGACAAAUGCAAACUAAAGAAAUAUUUUGAAUUACUUAAACAGAUCAAAUUGCAUAUCUAGCCCACAGCAAAUAUAAAAUUGCAUUGUUUCCAUUCUAUAAACAAAUAGUUAGAAGCUUUUAAGAUUUUUUAUGCAUUGGUACCAUGGAAGAAAGGUUGAUAUGCUAAUCAUAGGAGAAAAUCUAUUGGGUACAACUGCUAUAAAUAGUCAGGACCUGAGUCUAUCAAGAUACAAAGUUGGGUUGAGUAAAAAAAUUAAGGCAUAUCACAUUAUGAAAAGUCCUUCAAGAGUUGCAAUUAUGCUAAUGUUGUCCCCCUUGAUGUUCAAUGUUGCCAAAGGUGCCACACACACCGGCAUAGUUUAUUGGGCUUGCAAUACCGGCUCCUAUUCGAGCGGUGAUCCUUAUGCAAACAGCUUGGCUUAUCUCCUUGAGCACAUGGUGACCGUGACAUCAAAUCACGCGAACUACAACUACUCCACCGCAUCUCCUUAUCCGACAGCAAUUGCCUAUGGUCACGUUAUUUGUAGCCAAGCACUUUCUUACAGUGAUUGUGGCAUAUGUAUGAGCUUUGUUAAAUCCCAAAUAUUGGCCAUCUGUCCGGACAGUCUGGGCGCUCAAGUCAAGCUUGAAGAUUGUAGAACGAGGUACAAAAACUACUCAUUUAGUGGUUAAGUGGUUUGGUGCCAAACAUGGAGAACCUUGUUCGAACGGUAACGGCACUGGGAUGUGCAUUGCUUAAAUGUGUUGAAGAAUAAAUGCCCUAGUCAUAUAUCCUAAUUUAUGUUGUGUGUGGAUGUUUCUGCCGUUCUUGUUGUCAUUUUUAUUGUGGGAAAUGAUAUGAUAUGUGGCUCCUAUACUUUUUUGUUAUUUUAAAGUUCUCAAAUUGCCUUUUUAUGCCCGAGAAAACCUAAGAAAGCAGCUCAAAGCAAUGAUUCACACGAAAAAUCAAACCUGUAUUGUCUAUCUAAGCUACACGCACGUCAUUGGGUUUGUUCCUAUGGUACUUAAGCAGGUCUUCAAGAGAUGGCAGUUGGGGACACGCAAAUAAGAGGUCGUGCAAGAGAGUUCAAAACCAAAAGCCGGAAUUUAUAGAAGGAAACGCUGCCUAAAGGCUAAAAGAAAUUGUUACAACCUUGCUAGAGCCGCUUGUGAAUUUAACUUAUACGUUGAACUUGAAGCACAACUCUCUGUUGAAAUUCGGAAAGAAAUAACAUUGACUUUGUCCCUAGUAUUUGCAUAAGGAUCACUACUUGAAAAUCAUUCAGGAGGUUGAGAACAUAUUUACAGCAUACAAGAUAAAUACCACGAGAGGGUUCAUUCAUUUUGUUUUCAAGAAAAUAUUUUGAAGAAGCCAAAUCAGCAAAACAGAAACUAUGUCAAAUCAGUUACUGGUCAUACCAUAUAAGAGUCAUCAGCAUAAACCAAAAGUAAUACAGAGGAAGAGCUAAUGCAUGAAACAAUUAAAUGGACUUAUCAGCAUAAGAUUGAACCAAACCAGCAUAUACUAUCGCAGUAGGGGAUACUUAAGAAACCAAUUUUCUCUGAAGAUUUUACCUUUCAUCGUAAAAGUGGCCUCGCUUCAGUUGAUAAGCCCAUGAACCUGCGUUGUUAAAUCAGGAAACGGACAAAAGAGACAGCCAAGGAGUUGAUCCUCUUGUGAUAUAUGCACAACUUCAAUUUGAACCUUUUGCUUGACAAAUUCUCUUUUCUGAGCUCAAUUGAUCAUAUCUGACGACGGUAUCCAUGCGUGAACUUAAAUCAAAGACUCAUCUCCGGAACUCUUGCACGCUACUAUGAUUGGGUCAGCAAACAAAGAGUAGAGGGCACGACGAGAGGCAGACUGUCCAGGCAAAUCUUCCUGUUGUGAGUGAGACUCUUAAAAACCCCGAGUCAGUAAUUAAGACAGAUAAAAAUGGCAAGGAAUGUACUUCCAUUGAGAGCCAACCCUAUUGAUCGGGAAAGUAAUUCAAUUGAUGCAGUGGAAAAGACGAUGGAAUUUACAUCAUCUGGGCCUGACUGCAAUGGAGUUGAUUGUUGUUCGCCCAAGACGGCUAACAUUGGGAAUGUUUGUCAACGGCAUUCAUGUUCACCCAUCAUCAGAUGCUUUUCGGAAAAUCCCUGGCAGUGCAAAAGGGAAGAUACUUCAAGUAGUUUCAUACAUUUGCAGCCACGUUCCUUAGUCAGCAAGCCGUCCCUCAAACCUCGCUGUUAUUUGCAUGUAAGAAGCAGAGCAAAUAAACCAAAUAUGUAAUCGACCUGUGGUAAUAAUCUGAGUACACAGCUCGAUCCAAAUAUACUCCACUACCGAUUCAAAUACCAUCCACUUCAAUGUAUGCCUCUUCUUUGAAGUGUCUAUGGUAAAUAGGACAUUAAAAGGAUCAGAUUGUCAAAAAAGAAAGUGUAUAACAGAAAACUAGGAUCUCUCUCUCAAAGCACAUACACAAUAGGCUAAUCAGGAUUUAUGACAUAAUAUACUUCAUUACAUAGUAAAGUUAUUGCUAUUAACAUCUAUUUAAUACGAUAUCAUCCUCAGACUGCUUGAUCAUUCGUAUGAAUUUCACCUGUUUGAACAACAUUAGGCACCAAAAGCACUAACAAAUGAGUACACAUAACAGUUCAAUACAGAGAUUUCGUACCGAACCUAGAUAUACGAGGAUCAAAAUCCACCUUAUACCCCUCCAAAAAUUUGCCGUCUUGGGCGGUUCGAUUCAGUGAAUAAUCUCUCCGAUUUAAAAAAACUUCAUCAAUGGGACAUGGGACACAAAGAGAAGACGUUUGGAAGAAAACUUGACAUAUAUCUGAUUUACUCUUCAUCACAUUUCAGAUGAAAAUGUGGACAGAUCUCAGAGACAAUGGAGAGUUCUCCUAGUAAAGGAAGAAGUUCCAUUUGUCACGAGAUAUUUGACCCACAAUUCCAUUGUCGCUACAUCUGCAGAAAAACCCCUUUCAACCAUUUCACCGACAAGUUGCGUGGCUCUAGUAUUUUCAUUAUUUCUUAGCAAUCCUUGGAUUAUUGUGUUAUAAGUGACCCCAUCUGGAAAGCAUCCAUUUCCUUCCAUCUCCUUUAGAAGCUGAUAUGCUUCCUCCGUACAUCCUCCUUUGCACAACCCAUGCAUGAGAAUGUUACAUGUCCACACAUCAGGUUGCAAGCCUCGAGCAUGCAAACAAUUAACCAGCCCCUUUGCAUCGUCGAGCUUUCCGGCAUUACACAUGCCAUUUAUUAGGAUAUUGUAAGUCACGAUGUUUGGGAUGAAUUUGGAAUCUUCCAUCUUUCGAAGCAAUAUCAUGGCCUUGUCAAUCUGCUGUGUUUUACACAAGCCAUCCAGGAAAGCAUUCAAGGUAUAAUGAUCUAGAAAGAGAUUGCGAGAUUGCAUCUCAUUAAUUAGCUCCACCGCAGCUUCAAGGUUCCCAACCUGGCAAAAUCCAUAUACUAGAGUGCUGUAUGUGAUGACGUUAGGAUUCAGGCCCCUUUCAAGCAUUUCUUGGAACAGUAUUUUUGAUUUGUCAACUCUUUUCCCUUUGCAGUAUCCAUUAAUCAAUGUGUUAUAAGAAAUGACAUUAGGUGAGCAGCCUCUUUCAACCAUCAAAUUAAGAACCGCCAUAGCAUCAUCCAUCCUAUUUUGGAAACAAUAACCAUUCAACAAGGCAUUAUAAGUGACACUAUCAGGCAUUUUACCUAAUUGAAUCAUCUGGUCGACUAAGGCCUCGGCCUCUACAAGCAUUCCCUCUUUGCAAUAUGCAUCCACCAGGACAGUGAAGGUUCGAACAUUCGGCAUUACUCUGCUUUGCACCAUAUGACUCUGCAGUCUUCGAGCCUCUGUCAAUUGGCCAGAAUUGCACACUCCUUGAAUGACCGAGGUAUAAGUAACGACGUCUGGUUCAAUUCCUGCCUUCGUCAUCUUCUCCAACAAGACCGUAGCAUCUUUCCAUUGGCCUAGGUUGCAUAAGCAAUGAACCAAGGAGUUAUAAGUGGCUAAAUCGGGUUGGAUUGCUCUGCUUGUCAUCUCUUUCAACAAUGUGAGAGCAUCUUCCAGCUGGCCUACAUUGCACAGACCAUGAAUCAAGGAGUUGUAAGUAACAACAUCUGGUUUGAUCACUUUCCUACUCAUACUUUCAUGGAGUCUCAACGCUUCUGCAAUCAAUCCCUCCUUGCAAAGACUAUCAAUCACUAUGUUGUAUGUGAAGGAACCAAGCCUGCAGCUUCUCUCUUCCCAGUCCCUCAGCAAUUCGAUCGCAAAUUUGGUGUUACCCGCCCUGCAUAACCCCUUCACAACUAUCGCAUACGUGGUCUCAUUAGGUUCGGGGCCGUUUCGUUGCAUAUCAUCGAGGAACCUCAAGGCUUGAUCAGUUUUGCCCUGAAUAAAGAGACCAUCAAUUAGGGUGUUCGAUGCCACCACAUCAAUGUGAAACCCAAGCUUGAAGAUUCUGCCCAGGAUAGACAAACCCAAAUCAACCCGCUUUAACCGGCAGAAGCAAUUCAUCCAAAUGGUCAGCAAGGCAACAUCACCCUCGAUCCCCAAAGAAGGCAGCCGCUCAAUCAACCGGAUCACAGUCGAGUAGUGCUUCAUCCUCACUAUAGCACCCAACAGUAGACUGAAAUCCCCGGAGGAAGGCAAAGGGCUCGCCUUUAUCAUUUUACCGAAGCAACACAGGGCAUCACCCACACUCGUAAACCCACCGCCGCCACCACCACCAGCUCUGCAAUUUCUCCUCACGUAACUCAAGACAUGGUUGGGGUCGUCUAAAUUAGGGUUAGGGGUCGAGGAAAACCUCCGACGACGGUGAGACGAGAAAGGGAGAUGAGAAGGAUAAGGGAGAUAAGGGUGACAGAGAACGGAAAGGGAUGAUGACUCGCCAAAGAUCGCAGCUGGAGCGGGAAGAAGGAGGAAGAUGGAAGAAGCAAGGCAGAGAUUCGUCGGCUUCAUCAGUAGAAGUGAAAAGCUUUAAGCUUAUGGCGCUUCCUCUCGCUCCCUUUCUCAAGCUUCUAUAUAGUCAUCUUGACGGUCGCCAAUUAGAUCCCAAUCCCAAACAUAACAGUGAUACAUUAGCUUAAAAUAUUAAGGGUUAGGAAUUUAGGGAAAUUGCAUUGGUAUCCAUUUUCUUAAAAUAUUAAACUUCAGGAAUUUACACAUGGGGACCUAAUUUGCUUCUUAUCUACAAAAAGCACCCGAAAUAUUAUUCACUUAUAAAAAUCUUUAAAAUUAAGGAUGAUAUAUGAUUCAUUCAUAUUUCUAAAUUCAAUAUUUUCUUUAUUCUUAAAUUUUGAAGAGAAAGUCUAUAUACUAUAUUCACAUCACCAAUAUUUUUUUAUUUUUUUUGAGCAAACACAUCACCAAUAUAGAGGAUUGGUUUUGGAGUGGAUGGUUUCCAUCAUGGAAGGGAUUGAGAACUGUCCACUAAGGGUCGAUUCCGAAAAAUUGAAAUCAAGAAAUGCCCGUUGGUUCCCAAUUGCUCGUGUGCAAGUCAUUAACACCUAAAAAGUGUGUGUAAUUAGGAAAAUCAAAUCAAAUUUUACUUUUCGAAUGAAGAACUACGGUUUCUAGUUCUUUUUUCAUAUUUUAGCUAAGCUUCGGAAAAUAUAACCAUUUUCUUAGACUUCUUGAAUAUUUUUUGAAAUGUAACAUUUUUCGUUAAAUAAAUGGAGUUUAAGGGAAAAAUCCUAACAAGUUAUGACUAGAUUCUAUAGGUAGACUCAUGAACUUUUCAAUUAAGAAAGAGGGCGAGACAACCAUUGGAUUAACUUUUUAAAAUUUUUUAGUUUCUAAUCCUUUUCCUUGGAUCGGCCCUAGAUCGGCCCAUUCCUGUUAGUCCUGGUUCGGUUCCCAAGGAGACUAGGUCGGUCCUUGAUCUUAGAAUUCCUAGACCAAUACUAUGCGGGUCGGUCAUCGGUCCUAAAAGUUUCGGGUUGGUCCAACCCGGACCAACCCUGACUAGAUAUAUAUAUUAUUUAUAAUUUUUUUAUAUAGAGAAAAAUUUAAAAUAAAUAACGUUAACAACAUUAAAUAACUCUUUAAUGAGGAAUUCAAGUAAUUUUAUAUUAUUGUUUAAUAACUUAGAUUUUUAAUAUAUUUUACUAUGUCAAUAGUCAUAAUUUACGAAGAAGGAAAAUGUUUUUGUAAGGAGUCCUCACGGCGUUCAAAAAAGCAUAAACAACUCUUUAUGGCAUCCUCUUUAAUAUCUUAUUUGUCUUCUUAGUAUUCAAUUUGCCAAAAUCGAAAGAAACAAUUUUUCCGCUCGCCACUCGACACUUGCCUCGCUCGCUUUAGGUCAUUCGUGCAACUCACCGUUCGAUGCUCACUUGGCUUGUUGCUACAUGCUCGACAUUCGAUGCUCAUUCUAUUCGAUGCUCACCUCACUUGACCCUCACCGCUUGCCUUUCUUAACUAACCUCGCUCAUCAUCGAAUCCAUUUGGUGGGUAUGGUCCUCGGUUGCCCUUUCAAAUAGUACAAAAAAUGAAAUAAAAAAUUAUUGAUUGGUUCUGGAUUGACUUGGAAAUCAGAUCGAACUAAUUGGGUUAGUCCGGUCCUCAAUCGUUUUUUUAAGAAGUACAAAAAAAAAAAUGAAAUAAAAAAUUAUGGGUUGAUCUCGGGUUGACCCUUGAACUGGACCGAACCCAUUGGGUCGAUUCAGUCCUUAGUCCCAAUAAUUGAGGAUCAGCACUGUGUGGGUUGGUCCUAGGGUUAGGGGGUGGAUUGGCCCAACUAGGAACAUGCUCACCCUACCUUUUCCCCUCUAAAAGUUGAGCUAAGAACGCUUGCUGGCUCUAGGGUUGUUUGACCAACUUAGAGAAAGAGACCACUUUGACAGCCAGACCAUAAUCCUCAAUUGUCGCAACUAAUUCGUGUUUGCCAAAAAUGAAUAUUAAGAUGAUUGGAUUCCAAAAGUACGCCAUCACUUGCAUGAGACUCACUUGAUACUUGACACAAAGAAGAGAUAUAAGGUAAUCAAUCUUUUUUUCCACAUAGCUUUGACCUCUUCGAUCUAAUUUAUCCAUAAUGCCAAAGCAGGAAUGAUUUAAAUAUCUAAUAUUCCCAUUAUAUCCAAAUCACAAAGACGUUUUAAUUUGUCACCAUGGAUUCCAAAUAUGAACAUUGAAAACAUAAGUGAAUGAAGUAGAAGAAAUUAAGAAAGUAUGGAAUAUACUUUCAAUAACCACUAAGAAGGGUUUUAAAUCACACAUACACACAGAUAUACUUAUGAAGUUUGACACAUAAAGGUGGCAUAUACUAUUGGCUCGGGAUCUUAUCCAAUGAAAUAGUAAGUCUUUCUCCAUGUCGCUAAUUGUGGAUGGGUCUGACUUUUUUUUUUUUUUUGCGUGAUGACGAGAAUAAUUGUCCCAUCGUCGCUAGCUACGGGUGGUCCAACCUAUUCUCAACACCAUCUUAGGUAGUUUUCUAAGGAUGUAGCCUGAGUUUAGGCUAUGGGUUGUGUGUACAAAAUGUUAAAGCAAAUAAAAGCAUUCAAGAUAGUAUAUAUCAAAACACUGAUUCAAUAUACAUCCACUUAAUCAUACAUUACUACUUCUCUCUACAAGACAAAUGUAUCAGCAAAUACAUCAUCCCUAACAACUCCCAGUCUGCAUCAACAUUUAAAACAUUAGCAAACUAUCUUCAUUUUCCAUGAGAAUUUGACACGUGCUGCCAUGAAAACCACUUUAGUUGACAAACAAUCAAGUCAUUUCUAGGCCUCAAUCCUCUAAGGUCUAGAACCAAGUCCUAGUCACCAAGUUGUGGUGACCCUCUCAAACAAGUGUCGGGGGAAGGCAUGUUUUGGGAUAGUUUCAUUUUAAUUCAAUAAACCCUAUGAAAGUUCUAUAUAAGGAGCCAACUAGGAACCAUUUUAUGAAACUAGAGAUCUAGAGUCAAUGACUUGAUUAUAUUAGAGAUCUAACUAGUACCAUUUUGGUACCUUAACUUGAUUAUUUGUCAGUUAAAGUGUCAACGUGGCCUUUUACCAAAUUAUGAAUCUUAAGGUUAUCAGUUUUUAAGUGUCCAUACAAUAUUUUUGCAUUUAUUAUGAUCCCAAAAUGUAACCUCAGCAUUCAACUAAAACAGGCAAGUUGAAACUUGGAAAAAACAACAUAGAAUGACCAAUAAGUUAAUCUAAGUGCAUUUGGUUUAGUAUUUUGAAAGCCCAUUAGGCAAAUGCAAAAUAAUUUAGCCUAAAAGGCAUUGGAUAGAUGCAAAGGCCGUUUGGUAAAUUACGCUUUUGAUAAGCAACUUUGAGAGAAAAUACCGAUCAAUAGACAACACAUUUGAAAAGUGCUUUGGUGAUUAAUAUUAGUUUUCUAUACCACCGCCUUGGUGACCGCGAUGGUUUGCGCUCUCUCCCCCUCACGGUUGCUUGGAGUCUUAAGUAGGACGCUGGGAGUGGUGGGUCGUCCCGCUUACGUGUCCCCCCAGGUUUACUUGCCGGCUGCCGGCUGUAUGAGAUUCCUGGGCCACCAAAAAAAAAAUAAUAAUUUUCUAUAUUUUUAUUUGUUUAAAUUUGAAAAAGAAUCAAAUAUAUAUAUAUAAUUGAAAUAAUAAAAGACCAAACCCUUCGCCGGUUCGGCGAAGGGCUACAGCUACCAGCGAGCUAGAUUUGGCGCUGGUGGCCAUCGAUCAAGGUUGCCCAAUGGCGAGGGUUGCCAAUUGGUCGUGCAACCCUGACGAGGCAACCUCUAGCGGCCCUUGCUGGGUUCACACAACCCUCGUUGGAGAUCGACCAACCUCGGGUGACCUUAAUCAAAAGUCGUCGACGCCAAAUCUAUCCCCCCAACAAUCGUAACCCUUCAUUGAACCAGCGAAGGGUUUGAUCCUUUUUUAAUAAAAAAAAUAAUUAGGGAUAAAAUUUGAAAUUUGAAGAGUUGGUGAGGGUAGUUUUGGAAGAAAAAUUGAGUUCAACAUUCGAUCAAAUGAUCAAAUGUUGAAAGCCCAAACUAGUCUCUACUAGCAUUAGACUUUUAGCCUUCCCAAUGCUAGCUUUCAAGAGAAAGUUCACUCAAAAUAAUUACCAAACGGUCUAGCAUUCUCCAAGGGGUUUUGGAUCGCAUAACCAAAUAUAGAAGUUUCAGAAAGUUGAAGGUCUUCAAUGGAGGUUAACUAAAUUUAUACUACUACACCAACAGUCUUAACCGGCAACCACCUCUAUUGGUCACCAGACCACCACUAUCAGCCACAAUCAAAGAGUUGUAGAAAUUUAGAGCGUGGAUAGAAAAAUACAAAUUGAGAUGAAUGCUUCUGUAAAUCCACGCUUAAGCCAUGAACUACUAGUCAUUUCUCCAGGAACUUAUGUUAGCUACCAUUAGGAGUUCAAUGCACAAAACAGAGCAACACAACAAAUAGUGAUGUUAUUCUUGAUUUCAUGUUCGAGUUUCGCAAAACAACAAUGACAUAUGUGAAUCUAAAAUUCAUAUUGAGAUUUAAGAGAUGAUGAACCUUUUCGUCAAUAGAUAUAAUUAACUCUUUCUCAAAUACAUUUCACAGCUUCAUAGACACAUUUCAACAAACCACUUGCAUGCAACGAAAUUACUAAGUCUAAUCAUGGCAUUGAAAUGGUUUCUUGUCCAAAAUUAGCAUUAGAACAACAAUGCCAUCACAAAUCAUUAAAAGAAGUCUCAAAUUAAUUCAAUUCUUGAUGAUUUACAUUUGAACAACAUGAAUAAAUCUAAAUUUUGUGAAUCAUUUAAACAGAGCAAUGAAAUUACGUGCUCACGAAACAAUAUGAAGCUACAAUAUUUGGCCGAAAUUUGAACUUUCCAGCUUGUCUAACCAAAAUAGAGCAAGGCAAAAUCAAUGGUGAAACAACUAUUGGCAAUAAUCAAUGGUAACAAAUCAAAAGUACAUAAUGCCGUAAAUCUAAGUUCAAAUACUUUGUUAUACUUGAUUAGUUCGUCCAUGAUGGGGUGUGAUUAAGACGCACUGGUUCGUCUUGAUAUGUUAUGAUAGAGAGACACCAUUUUGAAAUGGUAUGAAGAAAGUCAUAUAAAUAACUUUUGGAGAUAACCGUUGGUGUAGUUGUUAGAAAGAAUGUUUAGAAAAAAAGUUUUCUCUCUUCUUCUCCUCUCUCCAUCAAGGAACAAAAGGCAUUCCAUUAUUGCUUUGAGAAGACAAUCGGUAUUAACGCAGUGGAAAUUGAAUGUUUUCCUCGUGAUUGUAUUCAGAGCAUCAUGAAGUCUUAUCGUCCGUCGUUGGCUCAUGAUUCACAUUCAUUCCAAGGUAAAUUGUUCAUUGCACAUCGAAGAGGUAAGUCAUUUCUUCCACCAACUUUCCUCCUAUAUUAGUAUUAGAGCCUAUGGUAUGAUUCAUGCCUUGUUUUCCCAUCGAAUUUUCUUGUUUGCUAUUUGAUACGAGGAUCAAGAAGAUGAACUUCACAUCGUUUGGAUGUUUAUUGCUCGAAAAUUGUAACAUGAAUCAUCAAAAACAAACCAAAGUGAAAAACGGGUUUGGAGGUCGUGUACACCUGCACAAUUUUGGCCAUUUUUUGGAAUAUUUUCUUGAUUAAAUUCAAUUUUUGAAUAUACGAGGUAAAAGUACUCGUCGAGAUGAGUUGAAAGGUGGUCUAGCGCCACCAGAAGAUGCUGGAUGCGCCCAUACAUGCGUCGACGAAUCGGUACACGCUGACGUCAUCAAUGACAUUAGCCAAUGGUCGGUAAUCGACAUGUUGAUGUCAUCAAUGAUGUUACCCAACUGGCAACAGUCGGCCGAUCGGCGACUAACCGAUGAUCCAACCUGACUAGAGACCUAAACCGAUUGACUAGUCAAUUGGUCGAAUCAAUCAAAAUGGCCAGGAGCCUUGUUGGCUCGUUGGCAUGUGUGCCACACGUGCCGCGCACUCAGGAGGCACACGUCGACACAUAGGAGAUCCGAUUGGCGCGUGAUGGGUGGCGUUUGGUUCGUAUAGAUAUGCUUUACAUUUUGGUAUAGUUAUUCUACAUGUUUGAGGCUUUUAAAGAAAUAAAAAUUUGUACGAAAUCCUAAGUAUGUGUAUUUUUGAGGUAUAAGUGCAUUAUUUAUUUCUUUUAACCUGUAUUUUCUUAUGGUUUUAGAAAUAUAAAAGCUAGCCUACAUGAAAAUAACCAUAUAUAUGUUAUGAAAAGCUUAGUUCGAUAAUAGCACGUAUAAAAGCUUAGUCCUGAUUCGAAGCAAACUCGAACAAUGGUUGAAGAUCCUUGAUUUUUUUCAUUACGUGUUGAAUUCUGCCUUCGAUUAUAGUUGCUUCAUAAUUGUUUUUUUAUAUAUUGGUUUACAUCAUGCUAUGCCUUUUGAUAUUUAAUAGAAAAGUGUGAAAAUUACAUGGGAUCAUGUGAUUAUUUUUUUAUUAGUGGGAAUUUAUAGGUUGAUAGAAUUCGAAAGAGUUCUCACCUAAAGUGGGCAAAUUAAACUAGUUAAUGAUAGUAGAACAAUCGUACAUAAAAGUGAAUUAGGAAUACAGUGAACUUUCGUUUAUGUGUCUUUUGUUGAAUUAUCAUUAAUUUAAUUUUUCUUUAUUGCAAAUUAAAUAUUUGUGUUAUUAUGAAAAUACGCUAGUAUUGAUUUUGCGUUUAUUAUGUCAAUGCGUUGUGACGAUUAAUUAUGGCUUUGGCAUCUAAGAUCACUGUGAUUGAUCUCGAUAAGGGUGAAAAACUGAAUGGUGAUAAUUAUGAUAUUUCGCACCGAAAGAUUUAGUAUAUCUUUAUGUAGUAAGAUGUUUUAGAAACCCUUAGCCGUAACAUGGAUGAGCCUAAACAUGAAACUUUAGCUCAGCACGGGAGAGAUUAAGAAGCUUAUCAAUUUUGGAAAAAGAAAAAUAAUAUUUCUCACAUCACAUUGUUGAGUUGUAUGCAAGAUAAUUUCAUGUGAAAGUUUAAAAGUUAUGAUUAAACUCAAAUAAUGUAGGUUGCCUUGAAAGAUAAGUUUGAGGCUACGUCUGCUAGUAAAUUAAGGAGACUCACCAUCAAGUUUGACAAAUAUCGAAAGCGUCCAAAUGUAAUGAUAAUACAGUAUUUUUGAAAGAUGUCAAACAUGAUUCGUAAGCUAAAGUUGAUAGGUCUCUCCCUUACUGAUGAACAAUAAGUUCAUGCUGUUGUAAGGUUUCUUCCUAACAGUUAGAAGCAUAUGAGAAUAUCGUCACUUUUGACAAUAUAACGUAUCAUUUGGAAUUAGAGGAUGAAUGUCUAGAGAUUGCGAGAUCCUUUACCCAUGCUUAUAUUGCUGAAUUGAGUUCGUUCAAAACUUCGGGUUUCAAGCGCAAAAGAAACCAUAAAUUCAACAACAAAGGGAAUGAGACUAAUUAGGCACCUAAGAGGGCUAAAACCUUCUAAUGUAAAAACCAUGGUGGGAAAAAGGAUAAAGCCAAGAUGAAGUGCUAUCAUUGUGACAAGAUGGGUCACUUUGCUAGUAAAUUCAUCGAGUAAAAAGAGGUACCUUAAUAUUCUAUUACUUUAAGUAAUACUUUUGUUUUUAAUACUGUAAUGCUUGUUGAAUCACAUCAAAUAUAGACUGUAAACUUAGGAGUAACAGACCAUGUAACUAGAGACUGAGGAUUAUUUGUGGAAUAUCGUCAGCCUAAAAGAAGAUGGACAUACGUUGGGAAUAACUCAAGAGUUGAAGUAAAAGGUAUCGGCAUAUGUAAAUAAAUUUUAUGUGGUGGUUGAAAUUUAUUUUUACAUGAUGUCCUCUAUACUCUAGAGAUUUGAUGAAACUUAGUCUCCAUAAUUGUUCUUCUUAGCCUAGGUUAUCUAUUGAAUUUUUAUGGUGAUUGUAUUGAUAUUUUAUUUGAAACAGUUUAUUAUGAUUUUGGUCACAUAUUGAAUGAUUUUAUGGUGUUAGACAUUGACUAUGAUGUGUACAAUGUUAAUGUUAAUGGUUGUUUUUCUUUAAUUACAUCUUUUAGUAACGUUGAGAUUGAUGCAAGUACUUGGCAUGCUAGAUUAGGUUAUAUUGGGUUACAAAGAAUGCAAAAGUUAGCUAAAUAAGAUCUUUUAGGGUCACUCGUUAAUGUUAAUAUAUUCAUAUGUGACUAUUGUCUAACGAGAAAAGUAACUAAAAAAAAUCAUUCGGUAAAAGAGCUAAAGCCGAACUUUCUUUGCAACUUAUACAUUUUACAUUUGUGGUUCAUUGAAUGUAAUAGCGAGGCAUGAUGCCUUAUAUUUCAUCACUUUUAUAGAUGUCUUCACGCAUUUCAAUUAUAUUUUUCUAAUCUCUCAUAAAUCAGAAAUAUUAGAUUACAUUAGACGAUAUGUAACGUCAGUAGAGAAUCGGUUGAACAAAAUAAUAAAGGGCAUUGAGAACCAAUCUCGGACUUGAGUAUCUAUCUGAGCAAUUCAAGAUUCUUUAUAAUGAAAAAAGAAUUAUAUAACAAUUUAUUAUUCCUGGUACUCUGCAACAAAUUUGGGUUGCCGAGAAAAUGAAUAGAUUCCUAUUGAAAAUUGUUAGGUCUAUGAUAGUGCAAACAAAUCUACCUAUCUCAUAUUAAGAAGAUGCGUUAUUGACCAUUGCUUAUAUAUUUAACCGUGUGCCCUCAUAGUCAGUCACUUCUACCCCUUAUGAAUUAUGGAUUGGUAGGAAACCAAACCUAAGUAAUUUACGUCAUUGGGGGUGUACAGCUUAUGUUCAUAAUUCUUCUCAUAAAUAUGAUAAAUUAAGCUAUAAAUUGAAUAAAUGUAUCUUUAUAAGAUAUUCUAAACACUCCAAAGGAUAUGUUCAUAGGUGAACAUACUGAUGGAAGUAUAACUGAAAUGGAGUUACGAGAUGUCAUGUUAUUGAAGAACGAUUUUCCUAGUUGAGGUGAGAUUGAUAAGAACUUCCAAUUAUAUGGAAUGAAAGACCAUAAUAACACAACCGCUAAUGUUGUCGAGGGAAAUGAAGAUUUACUUCAACAUACAAGACCUAGAGGGAGUGCCGCGUUUUCUAGCAAAUUGAAUUCAAGAGAAGUUAAGUUACGUAAAAAUAAUCAUAAAAGCAAUCCUCGUCGUCGUUUUGAGAUUUAAGGGGAAACUUUAUGAUUAUUCCGUAAGACAAUGCCAAGCCUAAGACUAGUUAAGAGGCUCUCUCAUUCUCUGAUAAAGAAGAAUAGACAAAAACUUUGGAAGAUGAGAUGGAGUUAAUGAGGGUAAACCACAUCUAAAAUUAAGUGAAGGGCGGAUAAAUCCAUUGAAAAGUAUAAGGCUCAUACUCAACAAGAAGGUAUAGAUUAUGAGAAACAUUUUCACCAAUUGUAAGGUUUGCUUCUAUACGCCUUAUUUUAUCCAUCAUUGUACAUUUGGACUUAUAAUUAUAUCAAAUGGAUGUAAAUACAACAUUUCUUAAUGGAGAACUAGAUGAAAAAAAAAUCCAUAUGAAAUAGCUAAUAGGUUUUAUAGCUAAAGGUUAGGAGCAUAAAGUUUGCAAGCUUUAUCGUUCAAUAUAUGGCUUUAAGCAAUCAUCUAGACAGUGACAUCUUUGUUUUCAUCGAGCCAUAAUAUCUUUCGAAUUCACAAUAAUUGAAGAAGAUCAUUGUGUAUAUAUCAAAUGGUUCAAAGAUAAAUUUGUGAUUUUAUCACUUUAUAUGAACGAUAUUCUGUUAGCUGAAAAUGAUAAGGGUUUAGUUAUCAUCAUAAAAGGAUGAUUGUUCUCUAAUUUUGAAAUGAAUGUACUUUAAUUUUGAAAUGAAGGACAUGGGAUAGGUCACUUAUAUAUUGAGAGUUAAGAUCGAAAAAGAUUGAUUAAGAAAACUUCUUACUCCAUUAUAAGAGUCUUAUAUAAUGAAGAUUCUUAAGCGUUUCAAUAUGUAAAUUGUAAUCUCAUUGAUAUCAUUGUCACACAAGGUAAAUGCUUGAGUACUAAGAUUUGUCCUAAGAUUCUAGAAAAAAAGAAAGAAAUGGAAACGGUUCCUUACACUAGCGCGGUUGAAAGUUUGAUGUAUGUUAUGAUGUGUAUUUGACCCAACAUCUGUCAUGUCGUGGGGUUAGUGAGUCAAUAUCUAUUAUCAAUCAAAUUUUGAUCAAGUACACUAGAAAGUAGUGAAGAAGAUCUUAAGAUACUUGAAAAACACUAUAGACUAUCGACUUUAUUAUCAGAGAAUAAUUUACGCUUGUUAGGCUACUCAGAUGCUAGUUGAAAAGGAGACCUAGAUGAACGUAAAUCAAUUUAUGGAUAUGCAUUCUUGUUUAAUGAAUGUGCAAUUUAUUGGAAUAGUAAGAAAUGAACAUGCAUGGCUUUAUCUACGAUAGAGGCAUAAUUUAUUGCGUGCUCUACUACAGUGCAAGAAGUAGUAUAGCUAAAAUAUUUCUUAGAAAAUUUAGUCAUUGUCACUGAGGUUCUAAGACUAAUUACAAUUUAUUAUACUAGUCAAGUAGCUAUUGCCUAUGUGAAAAAUCCCAAGUAUCAUGAUAGGACAAUAAGCACAUUAAUAUAAAAAAACAACUCCAUUAGAGAUAUAAUAGCGCAUAAAGAAGUGAUGCUUCAAUAUAUUUCAACUAAUAUAAUGGUUAUUGAUCCAUUUAUAAAUGCUAUUCCUAGAGACAUCCUCUUAACCCAUAGGAUAUCUCUAGGGUUACAUAGAAUGUGAUAUGUAUUAUUGUAAAUGAUAAUUAGUUUAUGUAUAUAUGCAUUAUACUCAUUUGUCUUUAGUGAUUUGAUGUUUUAUCAAUAAGUACAAAUCCAUAAUAAGACUAGCACGAACACGCAUAUAUUGUUGAAAAAUAUAUCAGUAAGUAAUGAUUAACUUACUCACACGAGAAAUCACAUCUAGUGCUAUAGUUAGCACAUUGAGAUGAGACGUUAUGUACAUAUAAAUACUGAAAUAAAAUAACGCAUCGCCUUAAUUGGAGUCAAGAUGAGAUCUGCGAUUUGUAUGUAAUAAUGCCAAACAUGAUAAUCCCACAAUCUUGUAUGCCUGUAGGAUGUUGAAUGCAAGUACUUAAUUGGGCGAUGUAGAAAUGGAGCUAAUAUAACACUUGAGCUAAACAUGAGUAUGUGAGAAGCGCGUGACUAUACUUAGGCUAAGAUUUAUAUAAUGAAUGUAUUUAAUAAAUAACAUAUGCUCUUAUAGAAAGAGAAAUCCACUAUAGUAUAUUAUUCAUGCUACAUGUGCAUUGUAUGACCAACAAUGAAAGGUGAGUGAAAUUACCCAUAUUUACUCAUCAUAUGAGCCAUUGAGGUAAUUUAUAAUUUACUUUAUUUUGUGUCAUAUGUUACUUAUGACUAUAUUCUUGAAGUGAAAUAUCAAUGUUACUAUUUUAACAUGUUACCGGCGGUCAUGAAUAGAUAUGGAUUUAUGGGAUGUGUCUGGGAAAACAGUUGUUCUAAAAUGGAGAGAAACAUGAGUGCAAAGGAACAUUAUCGUUGUUUUACAUCUACCACAUGUAUUUAUCGAUCGAUCAAUUAUAUCACAUUUUGUGGUCUUAGAUAUAAUUGUAAAUAUAUAAUGUUAUGAGAAUAGUCAAGUAUAACCUUUAAGGGAUAGGUAUGUUUGGACUAAUAUAACAAAAUAUGUCUGGGACACUAUGAGACAUCAAUUGUUCAUUUCUUUUUAGGAUUGUAGCCACUAUGUCAUCCCUAACAAAUGUAUAAUACUCACUGGUCACACGACUUUCUUGCCAAUAUGAAUUGUUUUUAAAGUAAAUGAACAUCGAAUGUCUUAUAUUCUUGAUAUGUCCGAGUGGGAGAUGUUAUAAUUUAUUAGUACAUACACGAUAGGGUGCGACUAAGACGCACUGGUUAGUCUUAAUAUACUAUGAUGAAGAGAUACUCUUUUGAAAGGAUACAAAGUAAGUCAUAUAAAUAACUUAUGGAGAUAACUGUUAGUGUGGUUGGCAGAAAGAAUGUUCUGAAAGAAAGUUUUCUCUCUUCUUUUUCUCUCUCCAUCAAAGAAUGAAAGGCAUUUCAUUACUACUUUAAGAAGAUAAUCGACAUUAAUGCUAUGAAAAUUGAAUGUUUUCCUCGUAAUUGCAUUCGGAGUAUCAUCAAGUCUUAUUAUCUGUCGUUUGCUCGUGAUUCAAUGUUUGUUCCAUGGUAAAUUGUUCAUUGCGCAUUGAAAAUGUUAGUCAUUUCUUCCGUCGACUUUCCUCCCACAUCCUCCAUGAGCAUGUGUCGUACGAUUGACCACACAAGCAAGUGAUGGAUGGUGGUUAGAACAAAACACAAAUUGAAAUUGCGAGUGCACACUUUUAGAGCCCCGAUUAAAUAACCUUAUAUUCAAGCUCCAUCCAUAACUAGAUACAUACCGAUUUUUAUCAACGCAUACUGCCUUUUGGCUAUAUAUCAAGUAACCAGAUAUUUUUUUUUAUAAUAAUUUUCAAGGAAUACCUAUUGUGCAUUGAAGAUAAGAAAAUUUCUUGUGAGCAUAUUUGCCUAGUAUCCAUCGACAUAGUUAAUAACGUAAUCCUACAAAUAAAUCUUUGGGCUAUUUCUUUAGAUGUAUCAUCUAUUUCGUGAGCUCCAACAAGGGUUCUCAUGUGAUGCAUGUGAAUGCAAUGAUUUAUGUAAAUUUGUGAGUUCUAGUCAAGCUAAGAUAGAAUAGGUUAAAUGCUAUCCAAUAUAGGAUGUAAAAAGAAGAAACAAGCAUUAAACGAAUAAGCAAAGGAAUCAGGAAUCUUUUUGAUUAAGUUGUCUAGAAUUGUUGUGGUUAAUGAAAGAUAACUGCAAAGAAAUAGACGGCCCGUAAAUGAGAGUACCGGACGAAAAAAGGAUAGGAGCAACAUCGGUGACGUACACAUGAAUAUUGAGGGACAACUGAAACAUGGCUAGACCCUCAAUAAUUCCAAAAAAGAAGAAUUAGGAUUAUCAAUGAUUCGUGGGAGAGAGCGACGAAUUUGUGUAUGCUCAAAUUGUACAGUUAUGUGCAACUGUUGCUCAAAUAGUAAAAAGGACACGUUAGCCAUAGAAAAAAGGACAAAUGCAAACUAAAGAAAUACUUUGAAUUACUUAAACAGAUCAAAUUGCAUAUCUAGCCCUCAGCAAAAUAUAAAAUUGCAUUGUUUCCAUUCUAUAAACAAAUAGUUAGAAGCUUUUAAGAUUGUUUAUGCAUUGGUACCAUGGAAGAAAGCUUGAGAUACUAAUCAUAGAAGAAAACCUAUUGGGUACAACUGCUAUAAAUAGUCAGGACUUGAGCCUAUCGAGGUACAAAGUUGGGUUGAGAGAAAAAUUAAGGUAUAUCACAUAAUGGAUACUAAUAAUGCUACUAUUGUCCCUCUUGAUGUUCAAUUUUGUCAAAGGUGCCCCGAACAAUGGCAUAGUCCAUUGGGCUUCCAAUACUGGUUCCCAUUGAAGUGGUGAUCCUUAUGCAAACAGUGUGGCUUAUGCCCUCGAGGACACGACGACCGUGAUGUCAAAUCACAUGGACUAAAACUACUCCACUGCAUCUCCUUAUCCCGCAGCAACUGCCUAUGGUCACGCUUUAGCCAAGCACUUUCUUAUAGCCACUGUGGCUGUUAAAUCCUAAAUACUGGCAAUAUGUCCAAAUAGUCAGGGCGCUCAAGUCGAGCUUGAAGAUUGUAGAAUGAGGUACGAAAACUGCUGGUUCAGUAAUUUGGCUCCAAACAUAGAGAACCUUGUUUGAAUGGUAACGGCACUGGGAUGUGCGUUUCCAGUAUUUGCGUACGGAUUUUGCUAACAGAAAUCACAAUGACUUUGUCCCUAGUAUUUGCAUAAAGGCUAAAAGAAAUGGUAACGAUUUUGCUAAAGCCGCUUGUGAAUUUGACAUAUACGUUGAACUCGAAGUACAACUCCCUGUUGAAAUUCCAAAAGAAAUCACAAUGACUUUGUUCCUAGUAUUUGCAUACGGAUCACUACUUGAAAAUCAUUAAGGAGGUCGAGAACAUAUUUACAGCAUACAAGACAGAUACCACGUGAGGAUUCAGUCUUUUCGUUGCCAAGAAAAUAUUUCCAAGAAGCCAAAUCAGCAAAACAGAAACUAUGUCAAAUCAAUUACUGGUCAUACCACAUAAGGGUCAUCGGCAUAAACCAAAAUAAGUACAGAGGAUGAGCUAAUGCAUGAAAAAGAAAAUGGACUUAUCAGCAUAAGAUUGAACCAAACCAGCAUCUACUAAUGCAGCAGGAGAUACUUAAGAAACCAAUUUUCUCUGAAGAUUUUACUUUUCAUCGUAAAAGUGGCCAAUUUUCUCUGAAGAUUUUACUUUUCAUCGUAAAAGUGGCCUUGCUUCAGUUGAUAAGCCAAUGAACCUGCAUUGUCAAAUCAGGAAACGGGCAAAAGAGACAGCCAAGGAGUUGAUCCUCUUGAGAUAUAUACACAACUUCAAUUUGAACCUUUUGCUUGACAAGUUAUUUUCUCUGAGUUCAAUUGAUCAUGUCUGUCAUGGUAUCCACGCGUGAACUUAGCUCAAAAACUCAUCUCUGAAAUGCUUGCAUGCUACCAUGAUUGGGUCAGCAAACAAAGAGUAGAGGGCAUGCCGAGAGGCAGAUUGUCCAGGGAAAUCCUACUGUUGUAAGUGAGACACUUAAAAACAAACAGAAAAAUGUGCUCCCAAGUCAGUGAUUAAGACAGACAAAUUUGGCAAGGAAUGUACCUCUAUUGGUCGGGAAAGUAAUUCAAUUGAUGCAGUGCAAAAGAUGAUGGAAUUUACAUCAUCUGGGCCUGACUGCGAUGAAGUUGAUAGUUGCUUGCUCAAGGCGGCUAGCAUUGUUUGUCAACGGCAUUCAUGUUCACCCAUCAUCAGAUGCUUUUCAGAAAAUCCCUCGCAGUGCAAAGGGGAAGAUACUUCAAGUAGCUUUCAUACACUUGUAACCACGUUCCUUAGUCAGCAAGUCGUCCCUCAAACUUCGCUGUUAUUUGCAUGUAAGAAGAAGAGCAAAUAAACCAAAUAUAUAAUCGACCUGUGGUGAUAAUCUGAUACACAGCUUGACCCAAAUAUACUCCACUGCCGAUUCAAACACCAUCCACUUCAAGGUAUGCCUCUUCUUUGAAAUAUCUAUGGUAAAUAUGACAUUGAAAGGAUCAGAUUGUGAAAAAAGAAAGUGUAUAACAGAAAACUAGGAUCUCUCUCUCAAAGCACAUACAACAUAGGCUAAUCAGGAUUUAUGGCAUAAUAUACUUCAUUAAAUAGUAAAGUUAUCGCUAUUAACAUCUAUUUAAUACAAUAUCAUCCUCAGACUGCUUGAUCAUUUGUAUGAAUUUCCCCUGUUUGAAAAACAUUAGGCACCAAAAGCACUAACAGAUGAGUACACAUAAUAGUUCAAUACAGAGAUUUCAUACCGAACCUAGAUAUAUGAGGAUAAAAAUCCACCUUAUACCCCUCCAAAUAUUUGCCAUCUUGGGCGGUUUGAUUCAGUGAAUUGUCUCUCAGAUUUGAAACAACUUCAUCAAUGGGACAUGGGACACAAUGAGAAGAUGUUUGGAAGAAAACUUGGCAUUAAUCUGAUUUACUCUUCAUCACAUUUCAGAUGAAAACUUGGACAGAACUCAGAGACAAUGGAUAGUUCUCCUAGUAAAGGAAGAAGUUCCAUUUAUCAUGAGAUAUUUGAUCCACAACUCCAUUGUCGCUACAUCUGCAGAAAAACCCCUUUCAACCAUUUCAUUGACAAGUUGUGCUGCUCUAGUAUUUUCGUUAUUUCUUAGUAGUCCUUGGAUCAUUGUGUUGUAAGUGACACCAUCUGGAAAGCAUCCAUUUUCUUCCAUCUCCUUUAGAAGCAGAUAUGCUUCCUCCGUACGUCCUCCUUUGCACAACUCAUGCAUGAGAAUGUUAUAUGUCCACACGUUAGGUUGCAAGCCUUGAGCAUGCAAACAAUCAAACAGCCCCUUUGCACCGUCGAGUUUUCCAGCAUUACACGUGCCAUUUAUUAUCUUUCGAAGCAAUGUCAUGGCCUUGUCGAUCUGUCGCGUUUUACACAAGCCAUCCAGGAAAGAAUUCAAGGUAUAAUGACUUAGAUACAGAUCACGAGAUUGCAUCUCGUUAAUUAGCUCCCCCGCAGCUUCAAGGUUCCCAACCUGGCAAUAUCCAUUUAUGAGAGUGUUGUAUGUGAUGACAUCAGGAUUCAAGCCCCUUUCAAGCAUUUCUUGGAACAGUAUUUUUGAUUUGUCAAUUCUUUUCGCUUUGCAGUAUCCGUUAAUCAACGUGUUAUAAGUAACAACAUUAGGUGAGCAGCCUCUUUCAACCAUCAAAUUUAGAACCACCAGAGCAUCAUCCAUCCUAUUUUGCAAACAAUAACCAUUCAACAAUGCAUUAUGAGUGACGCUAUUAGGCAUUUUACCUAAUUGAAUCAUCCGGUUGAUUAUGGCCUCUGCCUCUACAAGCAUUCCCUCUUUACAAUGUGCAUCCACCAAGAUAGUGAAGGUUUGAACAUUCGGCAUGACUCUGCUUUGCACCAUAUGACUCAGCAGUCUUUGGGCCUCUUUCAAUUGGCCGGAAUUGCACACUCCUUGAAUGACAGAGGUAUAAGUAAUGACGUCUGGUUCAACUCCUGCCUUCAUCAUCUUCUCCAACAAGACCGUAGCAUCUUUCCAUUGGCCUAGGUUGCAUAAGUAAUGAACCAAGGAGUUAUAAGUGAAUAUGUCGGGUUGUAAGCCUCCGCUUGUCAUCUCUUUCAACAAUACGAGAGCAUCUUCCAUCUGGCCUACAUUGCACAGACCGUGGAUCAAGGAGGUAUAAGUAACAACAUCUGGUUUGAUACCUUUCUUACUCAUGCUUUCAUGGAGUCUCAAGGCCUCUGCGAUCAAUCCCCCCUUGCAAAGACUAUCAAUUACUAUGUUGUACGUGAAGGAAUUGAUCCUGCAGCUUCUCUCUUCCCAGUCCCUUAGCAAUUCGAUCGCCAAACUGGUGUUACCUGCCCUGCAUAACCCCUUGGCGAUUAUCGCAUACGUGGUCUCACUAGGUUCGGGACCAUUUCGUCCCAUAUCAUCGAGGAACCUCAAGGCUUGAUCAGUUUUGCGCUGAAUAAAGAGACCAUCAAUUAGGGUGUUCCGCGUCACCACAGUGAUGGGAAACCCAAGCUUGAAGAUUCUGCCGAGGAUAGACAAACCCAAAUCAACCCGCCUUAACCGGCAGAAGCAAUUCGUCCAAAUGGUCAGCAAGGCAACAUCAUCCUCGAUCCCCAAAGAAGGCAGCCGCUCAAUCAAGCGGAUGGCAGUCGAGUAGUGCUUCAUCCUCACUAUAGCACCCAGCAGUAGACUGAAAUCCCCGGAGGAAGGCAAAGGGCUCGCCUUCAUCAUUUUACCGAAGCAACACAGGGCAUCACCGACACUCGUAAACCCACCACCACCAGCUCUGCAAUUUCUCCUCACGUAACUCAAGAGCCGGUUUGGGUCGUGUAAAUUAGGGUUAGGGCUGGAAGAAAACCUCCGACGACGAAGGCAAACCGAGAAAGGAUGAGAGAGAAAGAGAAUGGAAAGGGAUGAGGACUCGCAGGAGAUGGCAGCUGGACCCCGAAGCAGAAGGAAGAAGGAAUGAGCAGGGCAGAGAGUCGCGCGCUCCAUCAGCUUGAUGCUGAUGAAUUGUGAAAACUGCAGAGCUCGACAGGUCUUCGAGUUUUUAGUCGAAUUCGGAAGUCAUUCUCCAUUUCCCAAAAUAUAAUGGAGGGCGGCUGUUGAGAGAGCUAACUGGCCGUCAGUAUCCAUGCUUGAAAAGAGGCUUAGAUAUAUUCUCAUCCUGGAGGGAUUGGUUCCUAACAAAAACAAGAGCGAGAUUUUUAUUGCAGGUGGUGACCUUUCUAUUCGAAACAGAAUCCGGUCGGCAUUUGAUUUUAAGGAAGGGAAACUCCCUGCUAUCAUAUCUUCCAGAUUGAAUAAGGGGGAUUAUAUUGCAUUGACGGAGCGUAUUACGGCUAGGAUUCAAUCCUGGGCGCAUCGUUUCCUGUCCUUUGCAGGGAGACUGCAGCUGAUUCGGUCGGUUCUUUAUUCGAUUCAAUCAUUCUGGACAAGUGUCUUUAUGCUUCCCGCUUCGAUUUUGUCGGACAUCGAGAGAAUUAUGAGGCAAUUUUUAUGGAAGGGAACGGCUCUUGGCCGUGGAAGAGCAAAAGUAGCGUGGGAGGAUGUAUGUCUUCCGAAACUUAAAGGGGGUCUUGGCAUUAGGAAUAUCAGAGAUUGCAACAAAGCCUCUAUGCUCAAAUUCAUAUGGAUCCUCUUCUCGGAUAAGGAAUCGAUGUGGUGCCGGUGGAUUCAUUCCAUUUUCUUGACAAGGAAGAAUUUUUGGUUUUCAUCUCAACCUGCGACUUGCUCCUGGGCGUGGAAGAAAAUCCUCCAGCUUAGAAAGCACUUCAGAACUUUGUUUAGGUGGAAAAUUGGUAAUGGGCUAUCGGUAUCCUUAUGGCAUGAUUACUGGCUUCCAUGUGGCCCUCUUGAUGGAUUCGUUCCGCCCUCGUUUAGGGACAAUAUGCGGCUCCCUGAUAAUGCAGUAGUUGCUGACUUAUACACCCCAUUAGGCGACUCAUUCUCUUGGAUAUUAAUCAGAUGGGGUGUAGCUUUACCAACUCUGGAGGCUUAUAAUGACAAGUUUAUUUGGUGUGGCGAUCCAUCAGCCUCCUUCUCGGUCGCAUCCGCAUGGAAUGCCAUUAGAACCAAGAGAGAUCGGGUGGAUUGGGCUUCUUUGAUUUGGGAUAUCGAUAUAGUCCCGCGCCAUCAGUUUAUUAUGUGGCUUAUAUCUAGAAACCGUCUUCCUACUCAGGUGAUGUUGUUAAAUCAAGGUCGAAUUGAUUUUAAUCUAUGUGCCUUUUGUAAUGAAGUACCGGACUCAAUCGAACACCUAUUCUUCCGGUGUCGCAUCUCGGCCUCGUUGGCCUUCUUUUGGGCGGCCAGAUGUAACUUGCCAUGGAUGAAUAGAUGUUGGAGAGAGGCGCUCACUUGGGCCAGGAAAUUCCUCAUGGGGAAGGAUUUUUACCACAGGAUAGUUCGAUUCUCUUUCGGUGCUUUGUGCCAUCUCAUUUGGAAGAAGAGGAAUGCGAUUAUCUUCGGGGGUGAAUCCUUGGUGGUCCCUGCCCUUAAAAAUCACCUAAUCAAGGUGGUUAAGGACAAAGCACUCACAUUCACGGAAGUUCUUCCUUCUCCGAGGAACAGAAGAUUGCAAAGGGGGUGGGGAUUCCACCCCAUGAUCUUUUCCUCUGUAGCUAUUCCUCCUUAGGUUGCUGUUGUUUCGGUCUGCUCUUGUUCUUGUAGUUGCAGGUUCCUUCCUCCUCCGUUCUCCGCUUUCAGCUUUGAGGGCUUGAGGGCUGGGGAGGCUACGGAUUCCUGUUGUUACGUCUUGUUUGUUGGCUUCAUAGCUUUUGUGUUCUUGCUGGCGCCCUCGGGCUUUUUAUCGGAUCCCCGUCACUCUUGCUCCUUUGUUAAGAGUGCUUGUAUGGAUCCGAUCUUUUGUACUUUUGUCCAUUCUCAUUAAUAUUAUUACCUUUACCAAAAAAAAAAAAAAUGGAGGGAGAUAUGUAAUAUUCAGUUCAUUUGAAAAGAAAGGGGGUAACCACACUGAAGUUACUUCUUUUGAUGUGAUUGAGUCAUUCGACAUUUACAUCAUAAGUAAUACCAUAUUUUGAUGUCCAAUUAGGCCAUCCAAAUUAUUUUAAAAUAGAGUUAUUAUUAUAAAGAACCCAAAAUUAAUAUAUUUACGAUCAAAAUUAGUGCAUAUAUAACAAAUUUACCAUUUAUUUUAGAUUUUACAGUUAAAUUACUGAGUUAGAUAACAUUUAACAAUUGAUGAAUGUACUAGUUUGAGAUUUUACCUUCCGUUUAUCGCAAAUAUACCGGCUUGAAAUUUUUUGUAAUAUUAAUCCAAUUAAACGGGGAGUAAAUUCACAUGUGUACUAAUUCUGAGUUUAUUGGUAAAUUUAUCAUAUAUGUAUUACUUUGAAAUUUAUCGUGAUAUUAAUCCUUCAAAAUAUUAAAUGUUAUCCUCUGCUAGUGAAAUUUACUACCAUGAAUGACAAUCUAAAAAUACUAAAGUUGAAUGGGAAAUAACUUUUGUACCUUCAAUCACUUUAAACAGACAUUCACGUUCACAUAUGCAUCCUCUCUUAAGUAAAUAUGGGUAGGUAGGAUACCGGAGGGAUCAGGGAUCAGGUUGUGUUAGGAAGAGAGCAAAAACGAAAAUCAGUAUCUCUCCCUCAAAGCACAUACACAAUAGGCUAAUCAGGAUUUAUGACCUCAACAUAAAUUUAAAAAAAAAAAAAGAUUUUUCUGCAUAGCUAACUUCAAUAUUAACAUUUAUUUAAUUUAAGAGCAUCCUCACACCGCUUGAUUGUUUAAAUGAAGCAUAAACUGACGGGUACAUGUACCAUGUAUGAACAGGGAUUUCUUGUAGAACCUAAGUACACGAGAAACAAAACCCACCUGCGACCACUCCAAAAAUCCUCAUAAUGAAGCAAGAGAAGAUCACCCAAACUUAAAACAACUCCGUUAAUGGGACAUGGGACUCAAUGAGAUGAUUUGUGGAAUAAAACUUGCCCUCAGUCGAGUUUACUCUUCAUCACUUUUCAGAUGGGAAGAGUGGACAGACCUCAAAAAAAAUUGGAUAGCUCAACCAGAAAAGGGAGAAGUUCUGUUUGUCACCAGAUAUUUAACCGACUACUCCAUCAUUGCCAUACUUGCAGAAAAACCCCUUUCAACCAUUUCACUGACAGCUUAUGCUGCUUUCGUGCCUUCCUUUUUUCCUAGUACUCCUUGGAUUAUGAUGUGAAGAGAGACGCCAUCUGGAAAGCAUCCAAUACUUUCCAUCUCCUUUAGCAGCUGAUAUGCCUCCUCCGCACAUCCUCCUUCGCACAAUCUACACAUGACAAUGCUAUACAUUCACACGUCAGGUUCUAGCCUCAAGCAUGCAAACAAUUAAACAACCCCAUAGCAUCGUAAAGCUUCCCGGAAUUACACAUGCCUUAUAUUAGAAUAGUGUAUGUCAUAAUAUCCGGCGUGAAUUUGGAGUCUUUCCUCUUUCGAAGCAAUAUUAGCCUAGCAUACUCGGUCAAUGGGUCGAGCAAGCAUCUUCACCAAUAGUCAUUGUAUGUUCAUGUUCCAUCCAUAAAAUGGUGGAACCUAUUUGCAUCCCUUAAAGACUAUAGAUCUUCCAGUUGCCAUGGGGAUAUAUUUGAUCGCAAAAUGACAAUCUCCGCAAAUGCGAAAAUGGUGGAACUUGUUUGCAUCCCUUAUGACUGAAGCGUCCAUGUGGUAAACAAGUUCAUGAGAAGAUAAGCAGUGAUUUCUCUAAUUUCGUUUUCUUUUCUUUGUUGUGAUGCUUUGUUAAUGUUGACGAGAUAUCAUGUGAAUCAUUUCCUAAAUUUGACAGAAGGACAAUAGAAGUACUAAAAGUUAUAUAUGACGCUCAUUUUAGAACUUGCCAAAGAAUGAACUUGUAAACCACCAACUGGACAAAUCACCCUGCUCAGCUGUAUCCACAAGUUCGCUUGCAGUUCCGAACUUCACGACAGAAACAACGGAAACCUAGAUUAUGUACUUUGAGAUCAGAUUCUUUGAUUAGUGAUAAGAUUCUCUUCUAGACAAACGUUGUGCGAUAGGCUAAGUGUACGUGCGACCCCUUUUAACUAGGCCGUUGGCCCAAAAGGAAAGUGGACCAGAAUUUCUUGAUCUCAGCCUAACCUAGGUCCCUGGAUUCUAUUAGAUAAGCAACACUGGCCUAAGUUCGACCAAGAAAUGGUACUGCAAUUAGAAAAUUGUUAGUUCUAGAUUCAGAACAUGUUCCGCAGAAGACCAAUUACUCUCGUGAGCUUGAUUCCACUUUUCCGGCUCAUCUCUUGUGAAGAGUCCGUCACUAAUGGACAACCCGAAAUUUAAAGCCAAAUUUGCUAUAGAGCGUCUCAGUCACAUUGCAACAGGGUGUAAACGGAAAUACCCUGCAAAAUUCCAUGUUUGCUAUAAACAAUGACCAAUGCCUCUCCAAGUGUACGAAUUCCAGAUGAAUCGUAGGCAAGUAUUGCCAUUCUAAAAUUACCUUACAGCAUAGAAUCAAGCAUCACAUAUGGUUAAAACGAUCAAAUGCCAUCAUCAAGGUUGCCUCCAGAGUGCAUCUGGGAGAGUUAUUUCCAUGCCUAUUGGUAUUUUACCAGGUCAAUUGCAAGCAAUAUUGUGUCCUCUCCCAUCAAUCGUAAGACCAGUCUCUAAAACACUUGCACCCUACUAUGAUUGUGUCAGGAAACGAAGAGUAGAGGGCGUGACGAGAGGUAGAUUGUCCGGACAAAUCCUGCUGUGGAAAGUGAAACACACAAAAACAAUCAGAAUAAAACAUGUUCCUAACUCAGUAGCUGAAACAGUUAAGCAUGGCAAGGAGUAUAUCUCCAUCGAUAGCCAACCUAUUCACUGGGAAAGUAAUUCGAUUCAACGGAAAAGACAUUGUAAAGUUACAUCAUCUGGGCCUGUGAUCAAGUUUAUUGGUGUCGCUCUAGAUGUCUACUGGGUUGGGCAUUGGGAAUGUCUGUCAACGUCAAUCAUGUUCACCCAUCAGCAGACACUUUCAAGAAAUUUUUUUGCAGUUCAGAGGAAAAGAUACUGCAGGCAGUUUUCAUACACAUCCAGCCAUGUUCAGGAUGCCGUCUCCUCCAAACUUGGCUAUUGUUUGCAUGUAAGAAGCAGGCAAAUAACCCAAAUACUGAUCAACAUACAUUGAUAAUAUGAGUACCCAGCUCGCCACAAAUAUUUUCCACUAUCGAUUUAAAGUGCCCAUCAUCAUCAUAAAAUAUCAUCCCCUUCCACGUAUGCAUCUUCUUUGAAGUAACUAUAAUAAAUUCGACAUGUAGGGAUCAGACUGUGUUAGGAAAAGAGGGAAAGAAAUUAGUACCCCUCUCAAAGCACUAGGAUCAGAUUAUGUCAGGAUAUAUGACAUUAUUUUUUCAGGCCCAACCGCUCCACCCCCCGCGGGCGGCGGCGGCCCUCUUCUGAAAUUUUUUUGAUUUCUUUAGUUCCAUUUUCAGGAAGAGUUCCAUGCUGUUUCUGCUCAAUGACUGAAUUACAUAAGUCUAGCACAUAGUAAAGUUAUUGCUACUAACAUCUAUUUAAUUCAAAAGCAUGCUCACACUGCUUGAUCAUUUGUACAAAUUUCAUCUGUUUGAUUAAUAUUAGACACAAGAAGCUCUAAUGGAGAGAAUAUACCAUUUAAAUACAGAUAUCACUUACAGAACCUAGGUACACGAGAAACAAAAUCCACCUUCUACCCCUCCAAAACCCUUAUGUGUUAGCUAGCGAAAAAAUCUCCUAGAUUGAAAAGUCUACUUCUUUAAUGGUAAAUGGGACUCGACAAGAUGAUGUGGGGAAGAAAACUUGCCAUUGAUCUAGUUUACUCUUCAUCACAUUUCAGCUGAAAAUGUGGACAUAUCUCAAAGACAAUGGAGAGUUCAGAUAGAAAAGGAAGAAGUUCCAUCCAUCACAAGAUACUUAACCCACAACUCUGCUGUCCCCACAUUUGCAGAAAACCCCCUUUCGACCAUUUCACCGACAAGUUGUGCUGCUCUCAUGUUUUCUUUAUUUCUUAGAAGCUCUUGGAUUAUUGUGUUAUAAGUGACACCAUUUGGAAAGCAUCCAUUUCCUUCAAUCUCUUUUAGCAGCUGAUAUGCUUCCUCCAUGCGACCUCCUUUGCACAACCCACGGAUAACAAUAUUAUAGGUCCACACGCCAGGUUGCAAGCCUCGAGCAUGCAAACAAUUAAACAGCCCCUUUGCAUCGUCAAGCUUUCCAGCAUUACACAUGCCAUGUGUUAGGAUAUUGUAAGUCACAAUGUUAAAGGACAAAUUUGGAAUCUUCCAUCUUUCAAAGCAAUAUAUUAUGGCCUUGUCAAUCUGCUGUGUUUUACACAAGUCAUCGAGUAAAGCACUCAAGGUAUAAUGAUUUGGAGAUAGAUUGUGAGACUGCAUCUCAUUAAUUAGCUCCACCGCGGCUUCAAGGUUCCCAACCUUGCAUAAUCCGUCCAUGAGAGUGCUGUAUGUUAUGACACCAGGAAUCAGACCCCUUUGGAGCAUUUCUUGGAAAAGCAUCUUUGACUUGUCCAUUCUUUUUGCUUUGCAGUAUCCGUUAAUCAAUGUGUUAUAAGUAACAACAUCAGGUGAGCAGCCUCUUUCAACCAUCAAAUUAAGCACUUCCAUUGCAUCUUUCAUCCUAUUUUGCAAACAAUGACCAUUCAUCAUUGUACUAUAAAUGAAAUUAUGAGGCAUUUUACCUAAUUGAAUCAUCUGGUUGAUUAUGGCCUCUGCCUCUACAAGCAUUCCCUCUUUACAAUGUGCAUCCACCAAGAUAGUGAAGGUUUGAACAUUCGGCAUGACUCUGCUUCGCACCAUAUGACUCAGCAGUCUUCGAGCCUCUUCCAAAUGGCCGGAAUUGCAAACUCCUUGAAUGACGGAGGUAUAAGUAAUGACGUUCGGUUCAAUUCCUGCCUUCAUCAUCUCCUCCAACAAGACCGUAACAUCUUUCCAUUGGCCUCGGUUGCAUAAGCAUUGAACCAAGGAGCUAUAAGUGAAUAUGUCAGGUUGGAUGCCUCUGCUCGUCAUCUCUUUCAACAAUACGAGAGCAUCUUCCAUCUGGCCUACAUUGCACAUACUGUGGAUCAAGGAGCUAUAAGUAACAACAUCUGGUUCGAUGCCUUUUCUACUCAAACUUUCGUGGAGUCUCAAGGCCUCAGUGAUCAAUCCCUCCUUGCAAAGACCAUCAAUUACUAUGUUGUAUGUGAAAGAAUCGAGUCUGCAGCUUCUCUCUUCCCAGUCCCUCAGCAAUUUAAUCGCCAAUCUAGUGUUACCCACCCUGCAUAAACCCUUUGCGAUUAUUGCAUACGUGGUCUCAUCAGGUUCGGGGCCAUUUCGUCCCAUAUCAUCGAGGAACCUCAGUGCUUGAUCAGUUUUGCCCUGAAUAAAAAGACCAUCAAUUAAAGGUACUCGAUGCCACCACAGUGACGGGAAACCCAAGCUUCAAGAUUCUGCCCAGGAUAGACAAACCCAAAUCGAUCCGCUUUAACCGACAGAAGCAAUUCAACAAAAUAUUCAGCCAAAAAUGAUUAUCUUCAACUCCUAUAGAAUGCAGCUGCUCAAUCAAGCGGAUGGCAAUCAAGGAGUGCUUCAUCCUCACUACAGUACCCAACAGAAGACUAAAAUCCCUGGGGGAAGGCAAAGGGUCCGUCUUCAUCAUUGCACCGAAGCAACGCUGGGCAUUGCCGACGCCCGAAACCACACCACCAUUCCUGCACAUUUUCCUCACGUGACCCCAGACCUGGUCCGGGUCGUCUGAAUUAGGAUGGAAUGGGAUGAUGGCUGGCUGGAGAUCGCAUGAAGAAGGAGGAAGAUGGAAGAAGUAGGGCAGCGGAGACUCGUCGGCUUCAUUGCUCUGGGGUCUCUCUCUCUCUCGAACCACGAGAGUUUCUCCCGAUGCGACGGUAGUAGCUGAAAAAUUACAGAGAAUAUGAAAUUCAAUUUAUUUAAAAAUAGAUAACACCACCGAUGGUCCGUGAAUUUUCGCCUAAUACCCAAUUAAAUCAUCGAUUAUUAUAUGCAAUGUCAUACUCGCCCUUUCCACUGGUUUAACUAAGUGCUUGAACUAUUUUAAAACAUUUGACAAUAUUAUAUGUAAUGUCAAAUAAGCAUUUAAUCAGAUUUACUAAAAUAGACAUCAAUUUCAAUCGGUAAUUUCGGACUGGAAAAAUCAAUACACAUACCUUCCUUCUUCUUUUUUUGGCUCAAUCACUUUAAGCAGACAUUCUGAUUCACUUUACUCAUUUCGAUAGAAGACAUUUUGAUUCACUUUAUUCCACCUUAAGUAGACAUUCUGAUUCACUUUACUGAAGAAUAAGGAGAGCCAUUAACAACAAUUAUGGAUGUUUUAAAGUUGACCCUUCAUUCUCAACUUAACAUGAUCUAAUGGAAAAUUUAAGAGAGAAGAUGACAUUUUUGUGUUGAACGAAUGGCUCUUUACUAAUUUGGAGUCUUUUUCAAAACAAGGAUCGCAUUGACAUUAAAAAGAAAUAAUUUAAAGACCCAAUUGAGCUAAUUUAAAGUUCAUGGAUGACUUCAUACAUUAGACAAAGUUGAAAAACCUAACUACACCUAUUAAAAAUUUUGGGAAGACAUGGACAUUCUGCAUAUUGAACAAAAAUCCAUGGAGCUAUUAGUGUCAUUGUCACAAUACGAGAAUAAUCCUACUAGCAAUUAUGUACCCUUUUCAUUUGCCUUUUAUUAAAUAUUUGGUCAAUUAAUCAAAUAGAGUAGCUAAAAAAACUUCAAAAGAAAGGAAAAUGAGAGAAAUCGCUUCUCAUUGUCUCCAUUGACUUUUUAACACAAAGCAACUUUAAGAUAAAAUUCCAAAUAAAAACCUGACGUGUUUUUAUUUUCUCAAAUAAGGCCCAGAGUAAACCUUGUUUCAAACAACGACAUGAAGUGCCAUCAUUUUUUCAAGUAAGCGCUUAAAGUAAAUCUUAUUUCAAACAAUGGCCUGAAAUAAUUAUAUCUAUUUCAAGGCCUGCCUUUCCGACUAGUCAAGAGCAUUUUAGUCAUUUACCUUUUUUAUUGAAUAUUUUCCUUUCUUAUUUCAUUUUCCCUUUUUCCUUACCUUUUUUCCUUUUUCUAGUUUUUCUGUCUUCAUUGCUGCCAGUGGCUAUGAUGAUGCUGGAAAGGGUUGGGCAAGGAUUGCCCUUGCUGGUUGCUAGUAAGGGCCCCUCAUCGGCCACAAGCGAGGCCACCCACACUAGAUUUAGCGAGGGUCGGCUUGACCUAGGGCGACGAGGGCUCAACGACCCUCACCAGCCGCUAGCGCUAAUGGCCAAUGAGGGUUGCCAAGCCCUCGUUGGCCCUAGGCAAGGCUGACCUUCGCCACAUUUGGCUAGGGUGACCUUGAGCACGGCUAGCGAGGUUAGCAUAUCCCUUGCCAGCCCUUACCAACGGUUGACAAGACUGGUCACGCUCUUGCCAACCCUUACCAACGACCACCCUUUUCCGGCGGCCACUCACCCUCGUCAGAUAAAAAAAGAAGUGAAAAAAGGACAAAAAAGAAAAGAAUAAAAAAUAAUCUAAAAUUAAAAUUGUAAUUGGUCAAAAACACCCUUAACUAGUCAAAAUGUUUAGUCAGCCGGAGACUGAUGAGGUCAAGCUCUUAUUUGCAACAAUCAUAGCCACUUUAUGUCUUUAUUUGAAAUAAUCAUGAUUAUUUUAAACAUUUAUUUGACACAAGGUUCACUUCGAGCCAUUAUUUGAAAUUUUCCCCAACCUUGAUGACUGAAACAUCAAUAUUAUCUUGAAUAUACUUUCCUUGAAAAAGACCGGUCAAUAUUUUUAAUCUAAGGAUUCAUUUGUUUUAAGAAAAAUGAAAGACUUGAAAAACAUUUCCCUAAAAAAAUGAUUGGUUAUGUUGCUCUAAAUAAUUAGCCAAUAAAAAAUAUUUUCAUUAUCGACAAUAAUUUGUGCUUGAACUUUAUUGUGGACGAUAAAAAUAUUUUUCGUUCAUAUAUUUUUGUUAGAAAUACAAUUGAUUAUAUUUAGAAAAAUAUUUUGUAACUCGUGAUUUUUUUGCGAAACAAGCGAACCUAAGACUAAUCAAAUUAUUGAUUUGACUUCCAGUUCCAAUACGUUGGAAAAUACAAGUAAAUCUUAUAUAUUGAAAAAGUCUAUGCUGAUAAACAUGGCUGCUCAGUGCACGGAAUAAUGAACCUUGCACUCCCAAAGAGGCCAACAUGUUGAUCCACGCUGUGCCAUCCCUAAAAAUUCUCUUACAAAGGCUUGGUCAAAUUGAUGACCGGUCACCGAAUGACCAGAUGAAUAGGAUCAACACCGGUUUUGACUGUAUCUUGACCAAACCGGGUGACUGAGAAAAACUAGACCCGACCAUGGUCCGGAUCCCAGUUCAAUCGAUUACACAGGCCCAUUUAAUGCUGUCAGGUUUUAGGAUUAGCGGAAUCAUAUCUUUCUUGUCCUACAAAUUAUCUCACCAAUGAACGGAUUACCUGUGGUAAAAGAUGCAAUCACAAAUAAUAUAAUGUCCAAGUUUCCAUAGUCAAUUACCCCACUUAAUCUGAUGAAUUCAAGUUUACUCUGGCAGGUUAUACUGUUCUUUGAGGGAAAAAGAAUUACUUUUUUCUACCUCUCUCUCUUAUUUACGUUAGAUAAAAAGCCUUUUUAGUGCAAAAAAACGGCAUUUGUCUCUUAUAUCCAACCACCUGCUACAUUGAAGCGUAAUAGCUGCUGGAUCAAGCGGAUGGCAAUCGAGUAGUGCUUCAUCCUCGCUAUAGCACCCAACAGGACUGAAAUCCUUGGGGGAAGGCAAAGGGUCGAUGUUGAUCAUUUUACCGAAGCAACGCAGGGCAUCGUCGACACUCGAAAACCCACCGCCACCAGCUCUGCAAAAUUUCCUCACGUAACUCAAGAGCUGGCUCGGGUCGUCUAAAUUAGGGUUAGGGAUCGAAGAAAACCUCCGGCGAUCGCGAAACGAGAAACGGGCACGAGAGAGAUGAGGGAGGGAGAGAGAGACCGGAAUGCGAUGAUGAAUCGCUGGAGAUCGCAUCUUGAGCACGAAGGAGAAGAAAGACGGAAGCCCCAUGAACACUCUAACCUAACCAAGGCGACUCCUAUCAGCUUAAUGGUGCUCGAAAGCCUCCUUUUCGAUUUCCUUCAAAACGAGUGAGUGAUAAGAAAAACUUAGGUAGAAUCAUUUUAGUGAAAUUCAAGUUAUUACACACUUGUUUAAACAAAAAAUCUAUGCAUAAAUUGAUGAAAAAUAUUUCACCCUUUAGAACAUCGAAAAUUAUUUUCCAAAGAAGUUACUAGACAUCUGCAUUUUGGACCAAAAACUCUACUUGUGCAUGAGAGAUCUAAGACUCAUUUCUGAAACCCUUGUUCAUGUGCUUAAUUUCUCAAAAGUCCGUACGCAAGUCAUUUAGAUCUUGUUCAUGUGCUUAAUUUCAAAUUAGAUCUUACUUUUCAAAUGACAAAAAAUAUUUUAUGAUUUUUUUUUUCAAAUUCCACCCAAAUUUAGAAAAUUGACUUCUUGAAAAUUAGAAAUGUAACACUUUGCAUUAAACAAAUAGAGUAUUUGAGAAAAAUCUUAGUAAACUGAUGACCAAAUUCUAUAAGUAGACUCGAGAACAUUUCAAUUAAGAAAGAGGUUGGACAAUUUUAAUAUUUUUCAAUUUAGAUCUUUUUUUACCCCUAAAAAUUGAGCUAGGACACUUGUGGGUUCUAGGCCAACGAGUGGUUCGACCAACUUGGAGAAAGAGACAACUUUGAUGGUAAUGUCGUAUUCCUCAUCUCCACCAAAAAUGAAUGUUAAGGUGAUCAGACUCCAAAAGUGUGCCAUCGCUUGUAUGAGACUCGCUUGACACUUAACCCGAAGAAGAGAUAUGAGGUAACCAAUACUUUUUUCCAUGUAGCUUUGGUCUCCUUGAUCUAUAAUUUAUCCAUCAUGCCAAGAGAGCGUCUUUGGGAGCGAGAAUGAUUUAAAUAUUCAAUCUUCCCAUUAUAUCUAAAUCACAAAAGACGUUUUACUCGAUCACCAUGGAUUACAAAUAUAAACUUUGAAAACUUAAGUUGAUGAAGUAGAAGAAUUUUAAAAAAGUACAUAACAUACUUAUAGCGUCUGAUGAGAAGGGUUUUCAAUCAUAUAAGUACAUAGGUAUACUUGUGAGAUUCGACACAUAAAGUUGGGAUAUACUAUAGGUUCAAGAAUCCCUUCCCAACAAAACACUAAAUAUAUCCCAAUCUCGCUAAUUGGUUGGGUUCAACUUUUCUCUUGCGAGAUGAGUGGGGUCGAGAAGGAUUUGAUUAUGCUACUUAUCUAACUAUACAUUUCGGUACCUACACUUGAUUAUUUGUCAACUGAAGUGUCAACACGACCUUUCACCAAAAUAUGAAUUCUCAGGUUCUCAACCAUUAAAAGCGUGAAUGAUAACAAUUAUGUUUCAGAAUUUAAUUUUGGUUCCAAAAAUCUAAUUUUAUUUUUGGGAUGAGUGUUUGAGUAAAAAUAGCGUGUGAUGACAACAUAAAAUCCCUAUUCCUAGAAUAGAAAUUUGUUUAAUAAUGAUACAAAAAUUUCUCCUUUGCAAGCUGUGGCGGUGGCAACAACAAUGGACAACCGGUGGCAAUGGCAGCAAUCAAUGGAUGACUGACAACGGUGGUGAUCGGCAAACAACAAUGGUGGAUGGCAGGCGACAGCAAGUGAGCGGUCGACUAGUAGCGAGGGCGAGUGAGGAGAAGAGUUUUUAUUUAUUAUUUAUAUUCCAAAAUAGAAAAGUAGAAAAUUUUAGCUUCUCAACAAUAUUCCAAGCUCAUUUCUAGACUAAAAAAUUGUUCUAAAAAUAGAAAAAAUAAAAUUGCAUUACCAACGAAUUUCUAUUCUAAACCUAUUCUUGAGAGUAGAAAAAUAGUUUUAGCUAGAAAUAAAAUGUUUAUCACGUGCAUCUAACUGUCAAUCUAAUGUUUUUGUAUUUAUUUAUGAUCCCGAAGUGCAACCUAAACAUUCAAUGAAAACAAACAAAUCAAAACUUAGAAAAAGCAACAUAGAAGGACCAACCAAUUAAUCUAAGUGCAUUUGGUUUUGUAUUUUGAAAGCCCAUUAAGCAAAUGCAAAGUAAUUUAGCCUAAAGGGCCUUAGAUAAAUGGAAAGGUUGUUUGAUAAACUAUGCUUUGAGAAGUAAUUUUGAGAAAAAUACCGAUCGGUAGACAACACAUUUGAGAAGCACUUUGGUGAUUAAUAUUAAUUUUCUAUAUUUUUAUUUGUUUAAAAUUGAAAAAGAAUCAAAUAAUAAUGAUGAUGAUGAUGAUGAUGAUGAUGAUGAUGAUAUAUACCAAACCCUUCGCUGGUUCGGCAAAGGGCUACAGCCGGUGAGCUAGAUUUGGUGCUAGCGGCCAUUGAUCGAGGUUGCCCAAUGGCGAGGGCCGUCAGUCGGUCGUGCAACCCAGACAAGGCGACCUCCAGCGGCCCUUACUGGGUUCACACAACCCUCGUUGGAGAUCAGCUGACCUCGGGUGACCUUAAUCGAUAGUCGUCGACGCCAAAUCUGUCCCCCCGGCGAUCGUAACCCUUCAUUAGACCAGUGAAGGGUUUGGUCCUUUUUUAAUAAAAAAAAAUAAUGAGGGAUAAAAUUUGAAAUUUGAAGAGUUGGUGAGGGUAGUUUUGGAAGAAAAAAUGAGUUCAUCAUUUGAUCAAAUGAUCAAAUGUUGAAAGUUUAAACCUAGUCCCUACUAGCAUUAGGCUUUUAGCCUUCCCAAUGCUGGCUUUCAAGUGAAAGCUUCUUCAAAAUAAUUACCAAACGGUCUAGCAUUCCCCAAGGGGCUUUGGAUCGCAUAACCAAAUAUAGAAGUUUUAGAAAAUUGAAGGUCUUCAAUGGAGGUUAACUAAAUUUAUAUUGCUCCACCGGCGGUCUUAACUGGCAACCACCUCUAUUGGUCACUAGACCACCACUAUCAGCCACAAUCAAAGAGCUGUAGAAAUUUAGAGCGUGGAUAGAAAAAUACAAACCGAGAUGAAUGCUUCUGUAGAUCCACGCUUAAGCCAUGAACUACUAGUCAUUUCUCUAGGAACUUAUGUUAGCCACCAUUAGGAGUUCAAUGCACAAAACGGAGCAACACAACAAAUACCGAUGUUAUUCUCAAUUUCAUGUUCAAGUUUCACGAAACAACAAUGACAUACGUGAAUCUAAAAUUCAUAUUGAGAUUUAAGAGAUGAUGAACCUUUUAGUCAAUAGAUAUAAUUAACCCUUUCUCGAAUACAUUUCACAGCUUCAUAGACACAUUUCAACAAACCACUUGCAUGCAACGAAAUUACUAAGUCUUAUCAUGGCAUUGAAAUGGUUUCUCAUCCAAAAUCAGCAUUAGAACAACAACGCCAUCACAAAUCAUUAAAAGAAGUCUCAAAUUAAUUCAAAUUCUUGAUGAUUUAUAUUUGAACAACAUGAAUACAUCUCAAUUUUGUGAAUCGUUUAAACAGAGCAAUGAAAUUACGUGCUCACGAAACAAUAUGAAGCUACAAUAUUUGACUAAUUCAAGGAAGAAAAAUAAAGAAACUGCCACUGGCAUAAAGGCUUCGGGUGAAAUUUGAACUUUUCAGCUUGUCUAACCAGAAUAGAGCAAGGCAGAAUCAAUGGUGGAACAACUAUUGGCAAUAAUCAAUGGUAACAAAUCAAGAGUACAUGAUGCCAUAAAUCUAAGUUCAAAUACUUUGUUAUACUUGAUUAGUUCAUCCAUGAUGUGGUGCGAUUAAGACACACUGGUUCAUUUUGAUAUGUUAUGAUAGAGAGACAUCCUUUUGAAAGGGUAUGAAGGAAGUCAUAUAAAUAACUUUUGGAGAUAACCGUUGGUGUGGUUGUUAGAAAGAAUGUUUAGAAAAAAUGUUUUCUCUCUUCUUCUCCUCUCUCCAUCAAAGAACAAAAGGCAUUCCAUUAUUGCUUUGAGAAGACAAUCGGUAUUAACGCUAUGAAAAUUGAAUGUUUUCCUUGUGAUUGUAUUCAGGGUAUCGUGAAGUCUUAUCAUCCGUCGUUGGCUCAUGAUUCACGUUCAUUUCAGGGUAAAUUGUUCAUUGCGCAUUGAAAAGGCCGGUUGUUUCUUCCACCAACUUUCCUCGUAUAUUAGUAUUAGAGCCUAUGGUAUGAUUCAUGCCUUGUUUUCCCAUCGAAUUUUCUUGUUUGCUAUUUGACAUGGGAAUUAAGAAGAUGAACUUCACAUUGUUUGGAUGUUUAUUGCUCGGAAAUUGCAACAUGAAUCGUCGAAAACAAACCAAAGUGAAAAACGGGUUUGGAGGUCGCGUACACCUGCACAAUUUUGGCCAAUUUUCGGAAUAUUUUCUCGAUUAAAUUCAUUUUUUGAGUACACAAGGUAAAAGUACUCGUCAAGAUGAGUUGAAGGGUGGGUCUAGCGCCAUCGAAAGAUGCUGGAUGCGCCCAUACGCGUGUCAACGAAUCGGUACAUGCUGACGUCAUCAAUGACAUUAGCCAAUGGUCGAUAAUUGACAAGCUAACGUCAUCAAUGUUGUUACCCAACCAGCAGCAGUUGGCCGAUUGGCGACUGACCGAUGACCCAACCUGACUAAAGACCUAAACUAGUUGACUAGUCAACCAGUCGGAUCAGUCGAACUGGCUAGGAGCCUUGUUGGCUUGUUGGCGCGUGCGCCACACGUGUCGCGCACUCAGGAGGUGCUCGUCAGCACAUGGGAGAUCCGAUUGGCGCAUGGUGGGUGGCGUUUGGCUCGUAUAGGUAUGAUCUACGUUGUGGUAUAGUUAUUUUACAUGUUUGAGGCUUUUGAAGAAAUAAAAAUUUGUAUGAAAUCUUAAGUAUGCGUUUUUUGGGUAUAAGUGCAUUGUUUGUUUCUUUUAACCUGUAUUUUCUUAUGGUUUUGGAAAUAUAAAAGUUAGCCUACAUGAAAAUGACCAUAUAUAUGUUAUGAAGAGCUUAGUUUGAUGAUAGCACAUAUAUGGUUUAAUGUGCUUACCAUUUCCUGAUUCCGAGCAAACACGAACAAUGAUUGAAAAUCCUUGAUUUUUUUCAUUACGUGUUGAAUUCUGCCUUUGAUUAUAGUUGCUCCAUAAUUUUUUUAUAUAUAUUAAUUUACAUCAUGCUAUGCCUUUUGAUAUUUAAUAGAAAAAUGUGAAAAUUACAUGGGAUCAUGUGAUUAUUCUUUUACUAGUGGGAGUUCAUAGGUUGGUAGAAUUCGAAAGAGUUCUUACCUAGAUUGGGCAAAUUAAACUAGUUAAUGAUAGUAGAAUAAUCGUACAUAGAAGCUAAUUAGGAAUACAAUAAACUUUCAUUCCUGUGUCUUUUGUUGAAUUAUAAUUAAUUUCGUUUGUCUUUGUUGCAAAUUAAAUAUAUAUGUUAUUCUGAAAAUAUGCUAGUAUUGAUUUUGCGUUUAUUAUGUCAAUGUGUUAUAACAAUUAAUUAUGGCUUUGGCAUCUAAGAUCAUUGUGAUUGACCUCAAUAAAUGUGAAAAACUGAAUGGUGACAAUUAUGAUAUUUUAAGUCGAAAGAUUUAGUACAUCUUUAAGCAGUAAGAGGUUUUAGAAACCCUUAGCCAUAACAUGAAUGAGCCUAAACAUGAAACUUUUGCUUAGCACAAGAGAGAUCAAGAAACUUAUCAAGUUUGGAAAAAGAAAAAUAUCAUUUCUCGCAUCACAUUGCUGUGUUGUAUACAAGAUAAUUUCAUGUGUAAGUUUGAAAGUUAUGAUAAAACUCAAAUAAUGUUGGUUGGCUUGAAAGAUAAGUUUGGGGCUAUGUCUGCUAGUAAAUUAAUGAGAUCUACCAUCAAGUUUGACAAAUACCGAAAACACACAAAUGUAAUGAUAAUGUAGUAUUUUCAAGAGAUGUCAAACAUGAUUCGUAAACUAAAGUCAAUAGGUCUCUUCCUUAUGGAUAAACGAUAAGUUCAGGCUGCUAUAAGGUCUCUUCCUGAUAGUUAGAAGCACAUGAUGAUCAACAUGACACACAAUGAGAAUAUCGUCACUUUUGAUGAUAUAGCGCAUCAUUUGAAAUUAGAGCAUGAAUGUCUAGAGAUUGCGAGAUCCUCUACCCAUGCUUAUAUUGCUGAGUUGAGUUCGUUCAAAGUUUCGGGCUUCAAACGCAAAAGAAACAAUAAAUUCAAUAACAAAGGGAAUGAGACUAAUUAGGCACCUAAAAUGGCUAAGACCUUUCGACGCAAGAAGCAUAGUGGGAAAAAAGAUAAAGCCAAGAUGAAGUGCUAUUAUUGUAGCAAGAUGGGUCACUUUGCUAAUAAAUUCAUCGAGUCAAAAGAGGUACCUUAAUAUUCCAUUAUUUUAAAUAAUGCUUUUGUUUUUAAUAUUGUAAUGCUUGUCGAAUCCCAUCCAAUAUGGACUGUAAACUCAGCAGUAACAGACCAUAUAACUAAAGACCGAUGAUUAUUUGUGGAAUAUUGUCGGCCUGAAAGAAGAUGAACAUAUGUUAGGAAUAACUCAAGAUUUGAAGUAAAUUGUAUCAGCACAUGUAAAUUAAUAUUACGUGGUGGUUGAAGUUUUAUUCUUACAUGAUGUCCUCUAUACUCUAGAUAUUUGACGGAACUUAGUCUCUAUAAUUAUUCUUCUUAGCCUAGGUUAUAUAUUGAAUUUCUAUGGUGAUUGUAUUGAUAUUUUAUUUGAAACAAUUUAUUAUGAUUUUGGUUAUGUAUGGAAUGAUUUUAUGGUAUUAGACAUUAACUAUGAUGUGUACAAUAUUAAUGUUAAUGGUUGUUUUUCUUUAAUUACAUCUUUUCGUAAUGUUGAGAUUGAUACAAGUACUUGGCAUGCUAGAUUAGGUCAUAUUUGGUUAUAGAGAAUGCAAAAGUUAGCUAAAGAAGACUUUUUGGGGUUACUUGCUAAUGUUGAUAUAUUCAUGUAACUAUUGUCUAGCGGGAAAAGUAAGUAAAAAAAAAAUCAUUUGGUAAAAGAGCUAGGGCCGAACUUUCUUUGCAUCUUAUACAUUUUGACAUUUGUGAUUCAUUGAAUGUAAUAGUAAAGCAUGAAGCCUUAUAUUUCAUUACUUUUAUAGAUAACUUCACACAUUUCGAUUAUAUUUUUCUAAUUUCUCAUAAGUCAGAAACAUUAGAUUACUUUAGACGAUAUAUAACAUUAGUAAAGAAUCAGUUGAACAAAAUAAUAAAGGGCAUUGAGAACCAAUUUCGGAUUUGAGUAUCUAUCUGAGCAAUUCAAGACUCUUUGUGAUGAAAAGAGAAUUAUAUGACAAUUGAUUAUUCCUAGUACUCUGUAACAAAAUGGGGUUGCCGAGAGAAUGAAUAGAUCUCUAUUGAAAAUGGUUAGGUUUAUGAUAGUGCAAACAAAUCUACAUAUCUCAUAUUAAGGAGAUGUGUUAUUGACCGCUGUUUAUAUACUUAACCGUGCGCCCACAAAGUCAGUCACUUCUACCCCUUAUGAAUUAUGGACUAAUAGAAAAUCGGACUUAAUUAAUCUACGUCAUUGGGGGUGUACAGCUUACGUUCAUAAUUCUUCUCAUAAAUAUGACAAAUUAGGUCAUAAAUGGAAGAAAUGUAUAUUUAUAAGAUAUUCUGAACACUGCAAAUGAUAUGUGUUCAUAGGUGAACAAACUGAUGGAAGUAUAACCGAAAUGGAGUCACGAGAUGUCAUGUUAUUGGAGAAUGAUUUUCCUAAUUGAGGUGAGAUUGAUAAAAACUUCCAAUCAUAUGAGAUGGAAGACCCUAAUAACACAACCAUUAAUAUUGUCGAGGGAAAUGAAGAUUUACUUCAACAUAUAAGACCUAGUGGGAGUGCCGAGUUUUCUAUCGAAUUGAAUUCAAGAGAAGUUCUAAUGUUGUGAUUUUAUCACUUUAUAUGAACGAUAUUAUGUUGGCUGGAAAUGACCAGGGUUUAGUUAUCAUCAUAAAAUGAUGGUUGUCCUCUAAUUUUGAAAUGAAGGACGUGUGAGGAACUACUUAUAUAUUGGGAGUUAAGAUCGAAAAUGUGACAAUCUGAUUUUCCACUUAUGUUUUCAAUUGAAUAAAUCGGGUUUUUCAUCGACGUGCUUAUAGUGCUAUUCUCUGAGUCGAUCACUCAUGAGAUAACUAGACUAGUUGGGGAAGUUAUUAAGGGAUUUUAAUGCAAUAAGCUUGAAAAUUCGCCCAAGAAUCGACUACUUGACCGUGUUAGUCUGCAAUAGUCAUUACGGCAUAGUCAAAAAUCUAUCAGAGAUCGGAGAUAGGUCGAUUCGACGGAGGUAUGUAAUUAGGCAAAGGUGAUUCCACCUAAUUGCAAAAUUCUCGUCAAUCGGCACUAAAUCAAUUUUUUUUGUCGUUUUGAUACUCUAUACCUGUAAUUGAAAUCUUGAAAUUUUCAUGACAACCUAGAGUCACUAAUAAGUCGAAGAUGUAUAUUGUGGUUUGAAAACAAUCGACCACAAGUCGAUUCCAUCAAAAAUUCCCAAAAACUAUUCGAUAGUUUAGGUCACGUUAAAAUCACGUCAGAUUGAAAUUAACCGCGAAAUUUAAUCCGAUUUCAGAAAUUGAGAAUUCUACCGUGUCACAAUUAAUCCUAGGAACGUUGAUGCAUCCUCUCAAGACCUUUUGAUGAAUUUGAAAUUUUGGUGGAAAUGUCAAAUUGCAACAAGUUAAGCGAAUGUGGUAAAGGCCAUAAUUUAAAUGGUUUAUUAGUCUUCAAUGUGGAACCUUUGGAGAUUGGAAUUAUAAGAAUUUAAAUAAGGCUUUAUCCUUAUUAACUAAGGUUAUGAAAUGGUAAAAUGAAAAAAGGAAAAGCUAAUGGAAAAAGGGUGCAAAAUUCGGAUGUAUGCACACCAAAAGGAAUUCCACCACCAUUUGAGUUUCGUUUGAAGAGGAUAGGCUCAUCUAGGGAAUGGUAGGUCCCUUGAGAGUGAUGGAGAAUUAGUUUCCAUGGAAAAUAGCAAAAGGUUGUGAAAAUAUGGAAAGGGGGACCCUCCAUGGUCCUUUUUCUUCUUCUCCUCUCCCCCUCCUUGUGCUAUGUGACCACUCGUCUCUCUCUCCCUUUCUCUUUCCUUCCUUUUCCCCCUACCAUAAAGUCCCUUGUCUUCUUCUCCCUUAAGCUAUUCGGCCUCCCUUGUUUCUCCUUGGCUGACAACACAACAACCAAAAAUAGCGGAGAGCUCUGUUUUGGCGCUGCCGGUUCCUAGAUUAGCAGAAGCAUUGACCAAGCUGCCCUCAUGUUCCAUUUCUCUUUUGUGUGGCCAUUAAUCACCUCUCAACCACCCUCACCAGCAGUCCAGCAGUCCACAAAAACCGGUGAGAUUUAUGCAUCCCUUUGCCGGAAGCUCAGCGCCACUGCAUACGAGUGUUGCAUCGUUUCCAUCGCCCAUCCCUUCUCGAUCUCAACUCACCACCUUCACCAGAAGUAGCCAUCCCUUCGCCAUUGCUGCUACCCUGUCACUAGAACCCCUGUUGUACUGAUGCAGCCCACCAGUCAACCGAACCGCUCCAUGAUGCCGCCACCUCGCCUCUAAUGAGCUCACGCCGUCACUGCUCGGCCUGGCUUGGCUGAGAAGACUGCUUCUAAGUAGUAGGCCGAGGGCCUUGCUAGCCUAAGCAGGGCCACCCGGAGUUAUUCCAGCGCCCCCUUAGAUCGAGACCUCGUUGCCGCCGCUCCGCCGUCGCCGGAGGUCAUUGGUUUUUAGUUUAGGUGAGUCAAUUUCCUAAUUUCUGAUUAGGGUUGAUUACAUUCCUCAAGAGUAUGAUUAAGUUAAAUAGGAUUAGAAACUAGUUUAGUUAGGAUAAUGACUAGUUAAGUAGUUAGUUGAGAUGAGAUUAGAUAGUUAGACUACUUAGUUAGGUUGUUGGUUGGAUUAUUUAGUUAGAGACUUAAAUAUUUAGUUAAAUGGUUAGACUAGAAGGAUAUUGUAAGGCACUAGUUUAGUUAGGCAUUUUAACAAUUGGUUCUAGUUAUAAUCAAAUUGAAUUUUUAGUGAAAAAUUAUAAAUGGUAAUUAAUUAAAUAAUUAAUUUAAAUGAUUCAAUUAUAAAUUAGUUAAUUAUUUAAUAUUUUCCGGAAAUUAUACCGAGAUAGUCGGUGACUGAAAUUCCGUGCUGAUUGUAGUAGCAUAUUCCAUUUAUGCCAUGGAUUGUUAAAUUGUGCAAUUGAGUGAUGGUUGUUAAAUGUGAAUAUUUAAUUCAAAACGACAGAAUUUUGGUAUUUAAUUAGAAAAUAUCCGGUGUCAAGUUUUGGACACCGAAAGUGUUUUUAAGUACUAUAUCAAACUGUUGGAUUUUAAAAGAGAUUAUACAAAUUUUCUAGUUCGAUCUGACCAUAUUCCUACACACGAUUAUUUUACCAUGCAUUUCUAACAUGAAGAAAAGAGGCCGGAUCACUAUUUUAAUUGAGAUAUUUAAGUGCAAUACAUGGUGUCCUGGGCUGAAAUUGAAUGAAUGCAUGUAUGAUAUGAGAUACUGUCACGAGCCUUUGGGGUUGGACGAUGUUUCUUCGAGAAUACCCCAAGUUAACGGAUGCCGGUCGUAGUGGAGGCUGGACCGAUGCUCCUUUGAGAAAUGCCGUCUAGAUGUAAACGUUGUCGUGCUCGAUGGUGCGAGACGAAACCUGGUUAAGUCGGAAGAUUGCUGAUUGUUAAAUCGACCGUGACCGAUGAGUCAUAACCAAUUGGAACGCAUGAAUGAUUGAGAUUGAGGGGCCAUAUUAGGAGACGAAAUUGUGUGGUGCGGUAUGGGACGUACCAUAACAAUUUGGUUUGGUAAUCAGGACCUGUGAAUCGGUGAUGAUAUAUAUUUAUAUGUGUAUACAUGUCAAGAUGUUCCAAUGAUGCAUGAUUUCAAUAUAAUUAUAUGCAAAUUGAAUGGUAUUGACAUGCAGGACAACCACUGGUGUUACGUGAGUUUGGCGGAGAUAUGGUUAGAUUGCAUGCGAGUGUACUUUUCUUUUAAUCAGGAUUUAGGGGAUGGAAUCGCUGAGACAUCGUCUCAUUGGUUAUUGUAUAAUCAUUUUCAAGUCCUUAGAUAAAGGAUUGUCAAGCAAGGUGCAGGGAUUCGCAAGAAGUGAAAGCUAGGUUUUUAUUUAGUCUCUGUCAGAUGUCGACGAGUCUUUUAUCUAGUUUGGAUAGUGGGUGAUAGCUCACCCUUUUGUUAUCAAGAAGUCUGACGUGAUCGCAAGGGACGCUGGUCCCAUGGACGAAAAGCUCAGAGCGUAGAUAGCCUAGAAGCUUUUCUUUUUGAAAUAGAUCCAUGUGGUGUUAGACAUAUAUAUAUUGUUUGUAUUAUAAGUGUGUUUUGUGAAAAUAUCAUCCUAUGUUUCUAUCCCACUUUUAUGUUAUUUGAAGAUUGUUAUUAUGUUUCCACUUGUGCCAUAAAACGAAUGGGUCGUCGAUACUUCAUGGGACGUCGCAAAUUUUAUUGAGCAUAGAGGGAUGUGCAUGUGCUCGAAAUUCGGGUCGUGACAGAAAAAGAUCGAUUAAGAAAACUCCUUACUCUAUUAUAAGAGUCUUGUAUAAUGAAGAUUCUUGAGCGUUUCAAUAUGUAGAUUGUAAUCUCAUUUAUAUCCUUAUCAUGCCAGACGAAUGUUUAAGUAUUAAGAUUUGUCCUAAGACUCUAGAAAAAAAGAAAGAAAUGGAAAUUGUACUUUACGCUAGCGCGGUCGAAAGUUUGAUGUAUGUUAUGAUAUAUACUUGACCCAACAUAUGUCAUGUCGUGGGGUUAGUGAGUCAAUAUCUAUUUAUCAAUCAAAUUCUGAUCAAGUACACUAUAAAAUAGUGAAGAAGAUCUUAAGAUACUUGAAAAACACUAUAGACUAUCAACUUUGUUAUCAAGGGAAUGAUUUACGCUCAGAUGCCAAUUGAGGAGGAAAUCUAGAUGAGCGUAAAUCAAUUUAUGGAUAUGCGUUCUUGCUUAAUGAAUGUGCAAUUUAUUGGAAUAGUAAGAAACAAACAUGCAUGGGUUUAUCUAUGAUGAAGACAGAAUUUUUUGCGUGCUCUGCAGCAGUGCAAGAAGUAGUAUAGCUAAAAUGUUUCUAAGAAAAUUCAGUCAUUGUCACUGAGGUUCUAAGACUAAUUACAGUUUAUUAUGAUAGUCAAGCAGCUAUUGCCUAUGCGAAAAAUCCCAAGUAUCAUGAUAGGACAAUAAGCACAUUGAUAUAUAUAAAAAAAAUCAUUAGAGAUAUAAUAGCACAUAAGGAAGUGAUGCUUCAAUACAUUUUAACUAAUAGAAUGGUUACUGAUCCAUUUACAAAGGAUAUUCCUAGAGAUGUGUUCUUAACCCACAGGAUAUCUCUAGGGUUACAUAGAAUGUGAUAUGUAUUAUUGUAGAUGAUAAUUUGUUUAUGUAUAUAUGCAUUAUACUCAUUUGUCUUUAGUGAUUUGAUGUUUUAUCAAUAAGUACAAAUCCAUAAUAAGACUAGCACGGACACACAUAUAUUGUUGAAAAAUAUAUCAGCAAGUAAUGAUUAACUCACUCACACGAGAAAUCACUUUCGGUGCUAUAGUUAGCACAUUGAGAUGAGACAUUAUGUACAUAUAAAUACUAAAAGAGUAAAUUUAGUACAUAAAAUAACACAUCGCCUUGAUUGGAGUCAAGAUGAGGUCUGCGAUUUGUAUGUAAUAAGGCCGAACAUGAUAAUCCUACAAUCAUGUAUGCCUGUAAGAUGCCGGAUGCAAGUACUUAAUUAGGCGUUAUAAAAAGAGAGCUAAUAUAACACUUGAGCUAAACAUGAGUAUGUGAGAAGUACAUGACUAUAUUAAGGUUAAACUCUUAUAAUGAAUGUAUUUAAUAAAUGACAUAUGCUCUUAUAGCUAGAGAAAUCCACUAUAGUAUAUUAUUCAUGCUACAUGUGUAUUGUAUGACCAACAAGGGAAGGUGAGUGAAAUUACCCCUAUUUACUCAUCAUAUGAUCCCUUGAGAUAAUUUAUAAUUUACUUUAUUUUGUGGCAUAUGUUAUUUAUGACUAUAUUCUCGAAGUGAAAGAUAAAUGUUACUACUUUAGUAUGUUAUUGGCCGUCAUGAAUAGAUAUAGAUUUAUGGGACGUGUCUGAGAAAACAUUUGUUUUGAAAUGGAGAAAAACAUGAGUGCGAAUGAAGAUUAUCGUUGUUUUACGAUCGAUCGAUCAAUUAUAUCGUCUUUUGUGGUCUUAGAUAUAAUUGUAAAUAUAUGAUGUUAUGAUAAUAGUCAAGUAUAACCUUUAAGGGAUAGGUAUGUUUGGACUAAUAUAGCAAAAUAUGUCUGGGGUACUAUGAGAUAUCAAUUGUUUAUUUCUUUUUAGGGUUAUAGCCAUUAUGUCAUCCCUAACAAGUGCUUCCACAUGUAGGUAUACUCACUAGUCGUACGGCUUUCUUGCCAAUAUGAAUUGUUUCUAAAGUAAAUGAACAUUGAAUGUCUUAUAUUCUUGAUAUGUCUGAGUGGGAGAUGUUAUAAUUUAUUAGUACGUCCACAAUAGGGUGCGAUUAAGAUGCACUCGUUCAUCUUAAUAUAUUAUGAUGAAGAGAUACUCGUUUGAAAGGAUAUGAAGGAAGUCAUAUAAAUAACUUAUGAAGAUAAUUGUUAGUGUGGUUGACAGAAAGAACAUUUUGAAAGAAAGUUUUCUCUCUUCUUUUUCUCUCUCCAUCAAAGAAUGAAAGGCAUUUCAUUACCGCUUUAAGAAGAUAAUCGACAUUAACACUAUGAAAAUUGAAUGUUUUCCUUGUAAUUGCAUUCGGAGCAUCAUGAAGUCUUAUUAUAUGUCGUUCGCUCGUGAUUCAACGUUUGUUCCACGGUAAAUUGUUCAUUGCGCAUUGAAAAUGUUAGUCAUUUCUUCCGCUGACUUUCUUCCUACAUACUCCAUGAGCAUGUGUCCUACGAUUGACCACAAAAGCAAGUGAUGGAUGGUGGUUAGAACAAAACACAAAUUGAAAUCGCGAGUGCACACUUUUAGAGCCCCGAUUAAAUAACCUUAUAUUCAAGCUCCAUCCAUAACUAGAUACAUACCGAUUUUUCUUGUGAGCAUAUUUGCCUAGUAUCCAUCGACAUAGUUAAUAACGUAAUCCUACAAAUAAAUCUUUGGGCUAUUUCUUUAGAUGUAUCAUCUAUUUUGUGAGCUCCAACAAGGUAUCUCAUGCGAUGCAUGUGAAUGCAAUGAUUUAUGUAAAUUUGUGAGUUCUAGUCAAGCUAAGAUAGAAUAGGUUAAAUGCUAUCCAAUAUAGGAUGUAAAUAGAAGAAACAAGCAUUCAACGAAUAAGCAAAGGAAUCAAGUAUCUUCUUGAUUAAGUUGUCUAGAAUUGUUGUGGUUAAUGAAAGAUAACUACAGAGAAAUAGACGGCCCCUUAAAUGAGAGUACUGGACGAAAAAGGAUAGGAGCAACAUCAGUGACGUACACAUGAAUAUUGAGGGACAAUUGAAACAUGGCUAGACCCUCAAUAAUUCCAAAAAUGAAAACUCAGGAUUAUCAAUGAUUUGUGGGAGAGAGCGAUGAAUUUGUGUAUGCUCAAAUUGUACAGUUAUGUGCAACUGUUGCUCAAAUAGUAAAAAGGACACGUUAGCCAAAGAAAAAAGGACAAAUGCAAACUAAAGAAAUACUUUGAAUUACUUAAACAGAUCAAAUUGCAUAUCUAGCCCUCAGCAAAAUAUAAAAUUGCAUUGUUUCCUUUCUAUAAACAAAUAGUUAGAAGCUUUUAAGAUUGUUUAUGCAUUGGUACCAUGGAAGAAAGCUUGAGAUACUAAUCAUAGAAGAAAACCUAUUGGGUACAACUGCUAUAAAUAGUCAGGUAUUGAGCCUAUCAAGGUACAAAGUUGGGUUGAGAGAAAAAUUAAGGUAUAUCACAUUAUGGAUACUAAUAAUGCUACUAUUGUCCCUCUUGAUGUUCAAUGUUGUCAAAGGUGCCCCGAACAAUGGCAUAGUUCAUUGGGCUUCCAAUACUGGUUCCCAUUGAAGUGGUGAUCCUUAUUAGGGGUGAGCAUGAUUCCCAGGUAGAACCGGGAACCGGAGAACCGCACCGGAGGGUCCGGUUCGGUUCCCGGUUCCAAAGAGACAAGUUCUGGUUCCCGGUUCCCCUUUUCUGGGAACCGGCGUUCUCGGUUCCGGUUCCUAUGGAAACCGGAACCGAAACCGGAACCGGAACCGGUCAUAUAAUUCAAAAAAAAAAAAAAAACCCUAACUUCCCCCCACAGAUUUCCCCCCUCUGCGGAUUCUUCCCCCCUUCCCCUUUCUUUUUCUCUCUCUUUCUUUUCUCCCCUUUUCCCUCCUCACGUCACUUCUUGCCCCCCAACUUUUUUUAUUUUCUUCUCUCUCCCUCUCUUCUCUUUCCGGUUCCGGUUCCAAAUCGCCUAGGGUUUCCUGGAUUGCUCUCUCUCUCUCUCUCUAGAAUCCUCCGUUUCUUUCUCAACGAGCGCCUCCUCCCGACGCCGUCUCCGAUCUCCUGCUUUCCGGGACCUGAUCCGCGCGACGCCCUUUGUUCUGCGGCCACUCCGAUUCGGAGCUUCGAUCGAGCGCUCGUCGCCGUCGAUUAGUUCCCGCUCUUCUUCUUCUGAUCUCUUUCUUGUUUUUUGUGGCUUGAGAGAGCGAGAGAGAGAGAGGGAAGGGGGAAAUGGUGAGGGGGAAGACGCAGAUGAAGAGGAUAGAGAACGACACGAGCAGGCAGGUGACGUUCUCGAAGCGCAGGAACGGGCUGCUGAAGAAGGCGUUCGAGCUCUCCGUCCUCUGCGACGCCGAGGUUGCACUCAUCAUCUUCUCCCCGAGGGGCAAGCUCUACGAGUUCUCGAGCUCGACGAGACGGUAGGUUUUCCUCCGCAUUUUUGCUCGUCUUUGCUCGCGACCCACCACCUCUGCUCAGCGCCAGAAGCCCCGACGCCCCUGCUACUGGGUCCUCUCUGCUCCACCGCCGCUGCAACCAGACGCCAGAAGCCACCAUUCCUGCUGCGACGCUGCUGCUGCUGUCUCCGCCUCUGCUCCGACAACCCGACGCCAGCAAUCGCGACGCCUGAUGCCGUUGCCCCGAAGACCAGCAACCGACGUCCCUGCUCGGCGCUAGAAGCCCCGACGCCCCUACUGCUGGGUCCUCCUCUGCUCCUCGACGCCCCUGCAAGUGCAUGCUGCUUUAUUCUUGGUUGUGAAUGCUGGUAGAGCUAAGUUGCAGUGUCUGACUUCCUCAUUAUUGUGAAUUAUUUAAUACUUUUGAGGCUUUAUUCCCCUUGUUUUCUCUUGACUAAGUGUGUAUCUCCAAGUGUGCCCUCUCUCCUUGUUCUAACCCUCUUUGUGUUAGUUUCCACAUUUGAGUUGACCCUCCGCGGAUGAUUUCUGACUUUUAAUAUGGUUGCACUUAUGCCUUGCUUCUCAUGCAAAACUCUGUUUCUGCGAUGAUAAUAUAUUAAAGGUCUUACUAUGGCAAGUCUGUUGGUGCCAUGCCAUUUUCAGGAGCGAAAUUGGGUAUGAUGGAUGGAGGCUCGAUUUUGUUAGAGGCUUUUGGGGCGUCUAUGUCAAAGACUACUUGGAUGCUAGUGAACCUUACUUUGCUGUUGGUGAGUACUGGGAUUCCCUCAGCUAUACAUAUGGAGAAAUGGAUCACAAUCAAGAUGCACACAGGCAGAGAAUUAUCGACUGGAUAAACGCCACAAAUGGCAUAGCUGGAGCAUUUGAUGUCACCACAAAAGGAAUUUUUCAUGCCGUAAGCACUAUCACUGAUAGAUAGGCACUUUUUUAGAUGUUCUGGAAGCAUAGACACUCUGAUUAAGUGCACUGACUCUAGAUAGAGGAAAUUCAUUCGGUGUUUUGUUUUUCUUUUUGGAUGAGUAUGCAUACCAUGUCAAUUAAUUUGUUCAUGUUAUGCUUAAAUUAGAGAUGUACAACUAUUACACUGCUGGACCCGCUGUUAUUCAAGUAGUUAUGCUCUUGGAUGUUGCCGGUGAAGGAGAACUGUAGACUAAAACUCAGGCUCUAACCCUUGAAUUAUGUACUGAUCUGCACUUGAUGAAUCUCACUAAUUAGGUUGCUGAAGGACAGGCUUUUAUAGAUUACUUGUAUGAGCAUUAACUGUACCGCUGAUUAUCUUCAGAAGCAAAAGCUCUUGAUUCCUGAUUCUCUCUUUGUGCUUUCUAACCGAAUUAAAGGAUUUAACUUGGCAGAAAGUGCCAUUACCUCAACCAACAAAUUUAUAGAAUCUGUAGAGUUUGUUACCCUUCUUCAAGUUUCAAUUAUGCGUGCCUGAUGUUUCAAUAGUCAUCCAUUAGCCAACAUCUGGCAUUAUUGAUAACUGUAAUUUUUAAUUUUGUUAACAGGUUAAGCGUAGCAAAACUUCUUCAUGGACUUACAAAAAAGAUUUCUAUGUUUUGAUAAAAACAUAUGGUUUGAGAAGAAAGAUAGGUGACAACCAGCAUCUCAACAGUGCUGAAGAUUCCGAUAAUAUGCGCGUACGUUAUAAUUCAACUCUGAAAAUGAACUAAAAAAAAAAAAAAAAAACCUGUUGGAACCUGGAACCGACCCUGGAACCUGUGACCGGGUAGGUUCCAGGUUCUUGGUUCUUACGGGUAGGUUCCAAGUUCCAUAUUUUUUGGAACCUGUACCCGAGGGUAGGUUCUAGGUUCCAGACGGAACCGAACCGGAACCUGGAACCGCUCACCCCUAAUCCUUAUGCAAACAGUGUGGCGAGGACACGACGACCGUUAUGUCAAAUCACAUGGACUACAACUACUCCACUGCAUCUCCUUAUCCCGCAGCAACUGCCUAUGGUCACGCUUUAGCCAAGCACUUUCUUAUAGCGACUGUGGCUGUUAAAUCCUAAAUACUGGCAAUUGUCCAAAUAGUUAGGGUGCUCAAGUCGAGCUUGAAGAUUGUAGAAUGAGGUACGAAAACUACUGGUUAAGUAAUUUGGCUCCAAACAUAGAGAACCUUGUUUGAAUGGUAACGGCACUGGGAUGUGCGUUGCUCAAGUGUGUUGAAGAAUAAAUGCUCUAGCCAUGUAUCCUAAUUUAUAGUUUGCGUGGUUGUUUCUGCCGUUCAUGUUGUCAUGUUUAUUGUGGGAAAAAAUAUGAUGUGUCUCCUAUACUUUUUUUGUUAGUUUAAAGUUCUCAAAUUGCCUUUUUAUGACCGAGAAAACCUAAGAAAGCAGCUAAAAGCUAAUGACUCGUAUGAAAAAUCAAAUUUGCAUUGUCUAAGUUGCACGUCAUUGGGUUUGUUCCUAUGAUACUUAAGCGAGUCUUCAAGAGACGGCAGUAUGCAAAUAAGAGGACGUGCAGGAUAGUGCAAAACCAAAAGCCGGAAUCAAUAGAAGGAAACGCUGCAUAAAGGCUAAAAGAAAUGGUAACGAUUUUGCUAAAGCCGCUUGUGAACUUGACAUAUACGUUGAACUCGAAGUACAACUCCCUGUUGAAAUUCCAAAAGAAAUCACAAUGACUUUGUCCCUAGUAUUUGCAUACGGAUCACUACUUGAAAAUCAUUAAGGAGGUCGAGAACAUAUUUACAGCAUACAAGACAGAUGCCACGUGAGGAUUCAGUCUUUUCGUUGCCAAGAAAAUAUUUCCAAGAAGCCAAAUCAGCAAAACAGAAACUAUGUCAAAUCAAUUACUGGUCAUACCACAUAAGUGUCAUCGGCAUAAACCAAAAUAAGUACAGAGGAUGAGCUAAUGCAUGAAAAAGAAAAUGGACUUAUCAGCAUAAGAUUGAACCAAACCAGCAUCUACUAAUGCAGCAGGAGGUACUUAAGAAACCAAUUUUCUCUGAAGAUUUUACUUUCAUCGUAAAAGUGGCCUUGCUUCAGUUGAUAAGCCAAUGAACCUGCGUUGUCAAAUCAGGAAACAGGCAAAAGAGACAGCCAAGGAGUUGAUCCUCUUGAGAUAUAUACACAACUUCAAUUUGAACCUUUUGCUUGACAAGUAAUUUUUUCUGAGUUCAAUUGAUCAUGUCUGCCGUGGUAUCCACGCGUGAACUUAGCUCAAAGACUCAUCUCUGAAACGCUUGCAUGCUACUAUGACUGGGUCAGCAAACAAAGAGUAGAGGGCAUGCCGAGAGGCAGAUUGUCCAGGGAAAUCCUACUGUUGUAAGUGAGACACUUAAAAACAAACAGAAAAAUGUGCUCCCGAGUCAGUAAUUAAGACAAGACAAAUUUGGCAAGGAAUGUACCUCUAUUGAUCGGGAAAGUAAUUCAAUUGAUGCAGUGGAAAAGAUGAUGGAAUUUACAUCAUCUGGGCCUGACUGCGAUGAAGUUAAUUGUUGCUCGCUCAAGGUGGCUAGCAUUGUUUGUCAACGGUGUUCAUGUUCACCCAUCAUCAGAUGCUUUUCGGAAAAUCCCUCGCAGUGCAAGGGGGAAGAUGCUUCAAGUAGCUUUCAUACACUUGUAACCACGUUCCUUAGUCAGCAAGUCAUCCCUCAAACUUCGCUGUUAUUUGCAUGUAAGAAGAAGAGCAAAUAAACCAAAUAUAUAAUCGACCUGUGGUGAUAAUCUGAUACACAGCUUGACCCAAAUAUACUCCACUGCCGAUUCAAACACCAUCCACUUCAAGGUAUGCCUCUUCUUUGAAAUAUCUAUGGUAAAUAGGACAUUGAAAGGAUCAGAUUGUGAAAAAAGAAAGUGUAUAACAGAAAACUAGGAUCUCUCUCUCAAAGCACAUACAACAUAGGCUAAUCAGGAUUUAUGGCAUAAUAUACUUCAUUACAUAGUAAAGUUAUCGCUAUUAACAUCUAUUUAAUACAAUAUCAUCCUCAGACUGCUUGAUCAUUUGUAUGAAUUUCCCCUGUUUGAAAAACAUUAGGCACCAAAAGCACUAACAGAUGAGUACACAUAAUAGUUCAAUACAGAGAUUUCGUACCGAACCUAGAUAUAUGAGGAUAAAAAUCCACCUUAUACCCCUCCAAAUAUUUGCCAUCUUGGGCAGUUUGAUUCAGUGAAUUGUCUCUCAGAUUUGAAAAAACUUCAUCAAUGGGACAUGGGACACAAUGAGAAGAUGUUUGGAAGAAAACUUGGCAUUAAUCUGAUUUACUCUUCAUCACAUUUCAGAUGAAAACUAGGACAGAACUCAGAGACAAUGGAUAGUUCUCCUAGUAUAGGAAGAAGUUCCAUUUAUCAUGAGAUAUUUGAUCCACAACUCCAUUGUCGCUACAUCUGCAGAAUAACCCCUUUCAACCAUUUCAUUGACAAGUUGUGCUGCUCUAGUAUUUUCGUUAUUUCUUAGUAGUCCUUGGAUCAUUGUGUUGUAAGUGACACCAUCUGGAAAGCAUCCAUUUUCUUCCAUCUCCUUUAGAAGCAGAUAUGCUUCCUCCGUACGUCCUCCUUUGCACAACUCAUGCAUGAGAAUGUUAUAUGUCCACACGUUAGGUUGCAAGCCUUGAGCAUGCAAACUAUCAAACAGCCCCUUUGCACCAUCGAGUUUUCCAGCAUUACACAUGCCAUUUAUUAUCUUCCGAAGCAAUGUCAUGGCCUUGUCAAUCUGUCGCGUUUUACACAAGCCAUCCAGGAAAGAAUUCAAGGUAUAAUGAUUUAGAUACAGAUCACGAGAUUGCAUCUCGUUAAUUAGCUCCCCCGCGGCUUCAAGGUUCCCAACCUGGCAAUAUCCACUUAUGAGAGUGUUGUAUGUGAUGACAUCAGGAUUCAAGCCCCUUUCAAGCAUUUCUUGGAACAGUAUUUUUGAUUUGUCAAUUCUUUUCGCUUUGCAGUAUCCGUUAAUCAAUGUGUUAUAAGAAACGACAUUAGGUAAGCAGCCUCUUUCAACCAUCAAAUUAAGAACCGCCAUAGCAUCAUCCAUCCUAUUUUGCAAACAAUAACCAUUCAUCAAUGUACUAUAAGUGAAACUAUCAGGCAUUUUACCUAAUUGAAUCAUCUGGUUGAUUAUGGCCUCUGCUUCUACAAGCAUUCCCUCUUUACAAUGUGCAUCCACCAGAAUAUUGAAGGUUUGAACAUCCGGCAUGACUCUGCUUUGCACCAUAUGACUCAGCAGUCUUUGGGCCUCUUUCAAUUGGCCGGAAUUGCACACUCCUUGAAUGACAGAGUUAUAAGUAACGACAUCUGGUUCAAUUCCUGCCUCCAUCAUCUUCUCCAACAAGACCAUAGCAUCUUUCCAUUGGCCUAGCUUGCACAAGUAAUGAACCAAGGAGGUAUAAGUGAAUAUGUUGGGUUGGAAGCCUCCGCUUGUCAUCUCUUUCAACAAUAUGAGAGCAUCUUCCAUCUGGCCUACAUUGCACAGACCGUGGAUCAAGGAGUUAUAAGUAACAACAUCUGGUUUGAUACCUUUCUCGCUCAUGCUUUUGUGGAGUCUCAAGGCCUCUGUGAUCAAUCCCUCCUUGCAAAGACCAUUUAUUACUAUGUUGUAUGUGAAGGAAUUGAUGCUGCAGCUUCUCUCUUCCCAGUUCCUCAGCAAUUCGAUGGCCAAUCUGGUGUUACCCGCCCUGCAUAACCCCUUGGUGAUUAUCGCAUACGUGGUCUCACUAGGUUCGGGGCCAUUUCGUCCCAUAUCAUCGAGGAACCUCAGUGCUUGAUCAGUUUUGCCCUGAAUAAAGAGACCAUCAAUCAGGGUGUUCCACGUCACCACAUCGAUGUGAAACCCAAGCUUGAAGAUUCUGCCCAGAAUAGACAAGCCCAUAUCGACCCGCUUUAACCGGCAGAAGCAAUUUAUCCAAAUAUUGAGCAAGGCAACAUCACCCUCGAUCCCCAAAGAAGGCAGCUGCUCAAUCAAUCGGAUGGCAGUCGAGUAGUGCUUCAUCCUCACUAUAGCGCCCAACAGUAGACUGAAAUCCCAGGGGGAAGGCAAAGGGCUCGCCUUUAUCAUUUUACCGAAGCAACACAGGGCAUCACCGACACUCGUAAACACACCACCACCACCACCAGCUCUGCGAUUUGUCCUCACGCAACACAAGACCUGGUUGGGGUCGUCUAAAUUAGGGUUAGGGGUCGAGGAAAACCUCCGACGACGGUGAGACGAGAAAGGGAGAUGGAGGAUGGAAUGGGAUGUGGACUCGCUGGAGAUCGCAGCUGGAGCACCAAGAAGGAGGAAGAUGGAAGAAGCAGGGCAGAUAUUCGUUGGCUUCAUCGGUUGAUGACGAAUCUGAAAACUGAAAAGCUUCAGCUCAUGGCGCUCUCUCUAUCUCUCUCCCCGUCUCACUAUCAAGCUUUUAUACUCAGGCUCGGCUCUACCGUUUGUUGGUUAUAAUUAGGGGUGAGCAGCGGUCCAAGGUCAACCCUGGACCGACCUGAACUGGCCCGACCCUACUCGUCCUAGUUCGGUUCCCCGGGGACUGGGUUGGUCUUUGGUACUGAAAUUUCAAGAUCAACACUAUACGGGUUGGUUUUUGGUCCUAAGAGUUUUUGGUCGGUCUAAUCUUGGACCAACCAUAUAUAUUAUAUCAUAUUAUAUUAUUUAUAAUUCUUUUAUAUAUUCAAACCUAAAUAAAAUAUUUGUUAUAUUAUAUUAUAUUAUAUUAUAUUGAAAUGUUCUAUCCAUAAUUAAAAGUUCAAGUGAAUUAACAAGAUGUGAAGUUAUAUAUUUAUGGUUUAUAUUAAGUAUUUUGAACUUUUUAUGGUUCAAUUGUAUUUUACUACUGAAUUUCAGCUGUACUUUUCUUUUCAAUUUGUGUCAAAUGGUAGAAGUUUUUGAAGAGUAGAAUAGUACUACAGUUGCUACAGUGAUUUGCUAGUCAAGUGGUGUAAGCUCAUUUUUGGUUGAAUGGACUCUACAUGAUCAAAUGCAGGAAACGCUUUUGAAUAUAGUGUUAUGAAUAUUAAAGAUAGAUGAUUACAAGAACUUUCUAUAUUAUCUCAUAUCUCGAUGAGCGGUUAGCAUGUACAAAAUUUCUAUUAUUGUGUCAUCUUAAAUUUGCUAAAUAUGUAUUUGUAUUUAUAAUUUAGUUACACAAUACCGCAUUGUCGAUGGAUGUGUAAUUUGAAUUUGUAGGUUUGCUUUUUUAGGGAGUAUAAAAAAUAAGACGAAAAAAAUUAUCAAUCAGUCCUGGGUUGACCCUGGAACCGGACCAAACCCAUUGGGUCGGUCCGGUCCUUGGUCCCAGACUCAAUAGGGUCGGUCCUUGGUCCUAAAAAUUGAGGACCAACACUGUACGGGUUGGUCCUAAGAUUAAGGGGUGGCCAAGACCACCCGGACCAUGCUCACCCCUAGUUAUAAUAUCGAACGGAAAGAUGUAAGAUCUGGAUAGGGCAUGAUUUCAAAUGAUCUCGCAUCAUUAUUUACUGACGAUACAAAUUUUCUUUUAUCCAUUUUUUAAAUAAGUAAUACAAUUAAUCAUUUUCACCACAAAAUCAUAUUUGCAUUUUUCGUUCCUAGUGGCUCGUGUGCAUAGCUUUACUUCUCUUGCAAAUAGUUAAGACUUGCUGGAUCAUUAGACAUACUCAUAAAUAGUGUGAUAACUUAAUGAUAAGUAUCUAACAAUAUAUUUCAAUCGACUUAACUUGUAACUACGAUUGUGUAUGUUUGUACGGAUGAAUAGAUUAUAGCAUGUAACACGGAAUUUAACUCAUUCUAUGUCCCGAUCCAACAAUUGAAGUUUGAUUUGACAAAUAUUUCUGACUCAGUCAUUCCUAAUUCCACUACAAGGCCUUCAGCAUUCUGCUUCAUAAACCGCAAUCCUUCUUAGAAAUAUAGUUGUUCAAGGAUUUAAACAAAAACACCGGAGAAGAUGAGAGAGAGAGAGAGAGAGAGUAGUGACAGGCUAUGCCGUUAAAAUUUGAAAUUGAAACACGAAAUUUAUCCUAGGAGUACGUUUAACAAAUAACUCCACUAUAAUUAGCACAUUGCAUCUCUAUGUUACAACUCUCAAUUACAAGAAAAAGAAAUCAUAUAUGCCUAGUAACUAUUCAUGGACUUGAACCAAAAUUAUUAAUAAAAUAUGAGCUCAAACUAUAAAAACCUCAAAACUCCUCUAUGCCUUCCUAUUAAUUGGGAGUAUGAAUCACAUCCCCUACAUAUCAUAUAGUACGGAAAUUGUUGUUAGAGAGGCAAAGUGGCAAAAAAUAGGGAUGGAUUUGAGUGGGUCACAGAGUGAGAAAGAAGCAAUGGUGGGUGGCAACGAAUACUCCGGUGGUAGAUGACGACACUCGGGCUAGUCAUUGGUGACUACGAUUGGCGAGAGAGGCAAACAAGAACUAGAGGUCGAGAGGGGCAUCAAGCGUGAGUGAAUUAAUGGCAACGGGCUUUACCCAAAUGAAAACCAAAAUGAGUUUACUUUCAUUAUGAAACUCCAAUUAGUACUGCCUCAAACAUUUUUCCCAAAAGUCUUUUGAAAAAAAAAAACUAAAUUAAUACCUCAUGAUAUAUUUAUUCAAACUAAUUUCAUCUCAUAGAAUAUCCUAAUUGAUACCUCUCACACAAAUCUAUCCUCCGUUAAAAUGCAUACAUGUCAACAUACAUGAAUUUUCCACAUCGGAUCAAUCAUUUUUUACCUCUCAUUCAUCAUGUGUUGACAAAUAUGCAUUACAAGUAGAUUCUGGUUUUAUUUUUUGUGAGACGAAAUUAAUUUGCGACCAACGUGCCAUGCAUUUACUAAUUUGAGAUUUUUUUUUGUAAGGUUAGUAAUAUAUUGACUUUUAACCAAAAAUUAUACAACAGGGGGUUCUUGGCACCAAAAAACUUACUCACUUUGGAAUUUAUCGUGAUAUUAAUCCUUCAAAAUAUUAAAUGCUAUCAUCUGCUAGUGAAAUUUACUACCAUGAACAACAGUCUAAAAAUACUAAAGUUGAAUGGGAAAUAACUUUUGUACCUUCAAUCACUUCAAACAUAUUCAUGUUCACAUAUGCAUCCUCUCUGAAGUAAAUAUGGGUAGGUAGGACAUUGGAGGGAUCAGGGAUCAGGCUGUGUUAGGAAGAGAGCAAAAAGGAAAACCAAUAUCUCUCCCUCAAAGCACAUACACAAUAGAUUAAUCGGGAUUUAUGACCUCAACAUUAAUUAAAAAAAAGGAUUUUUGUGCUUAGCAAACUAAAGUAUUAACAUCUUUUUAAUUUAAGAGCAUCCUCACGCUGCUUGAUUGUUUAUAUGAAGCAUAAACCGACGGGUACAUGUACCAUGUAUGAAUAGAGAUUUCUUGCAUAACUUAGCUCAAGGCUGGUAGGGACCAGCCUUGGGCUUUCAGAAUUCUACCAAAUGUUGAAAACAUUUUUUUUCCUAAACUAUCCUCAUUAAUUUUUUGUAUUUCUGUUAUUGCCCCUAUAUUUAUUUAUUUUUUUAAAUGAAGAAGGAGCAGCCCUUUGCCGAACCAACGAAGGGCGACGGCCGCCAGCGCCAGAUCCGGCUCGCCAGCGGCCACAGCCCUUCGCCGGCUGGCGAAGGGUUUAGCUGAAUUUUCAAAGAAAAGAAAAAUAUAUAUAUAUUACCCAAAGCCCCUUGGAAAGUUCUUUUUACCAAAUACACAUUCAACUCAAAGUUCAUUUGCAAAAUUUUUUUACCAAACACAAUUGCAUUUUUCCCAAGUAGCUUUGGGCUUUCAGCAUUUGCAUUGAACUCAAAGCCCAUUGCAAAUGCUGAACCAAACGCAGUCUUAGAUACACGAGAAACAAAACCCUCCAAAAAUCCUCAUAAUAAAGCAAUAGAAGGUCACCCAGACUUAAAACAACUCCGUUAAUGGGACAUGGGACUCAAUGAGAUGAUUUGUGGAAUAAAACUUGCCCUCAAUCUAGUUUACUCUUCAUCACUUUUCAGAUGGAAAGAGUGGACAGACCUCAGAAAAAAUGGAUAGCUCAACCAGAAAAGGAAGAAGUUCCGUUUGUCACCAGAUGUUUAACCAACAACUCCAUUGUUGCCAUACUUGCUGAAAAACCCCUUUCAACCAUUUCACCGACAGCUUAUGCUGCUUUCAUGUCUUCCUUAUUUCUUAGUAGUCCUUGGAUUAUGAUGUUAAGAGAGACACCAUCUGGAAAGCAUCCAAUACUCUCCAUCUCCUUCAGCAGCUGAUACGCCUCCUCCGCACAUCCUCCUUCGCACAAUCUACACAUGACAAAGCUAUACAUCCACACGUCAGGUUCCAGCCUCAAGCAUGCAAACAAUUAAACAGCCCCAUAGCAUCGUCAAGCUUCCCGGAGUUACACAUGCCUUAUAUUAGAAUAGUGUAUGACACAAUAUCCGGUGUGAAUUUGGAGUCUUUCAUCUUUCGAAGCAAUAUCAGCCCAGCAUACUCGGUCAAUGGGUCGAGCAAGCAUCUUCACCAAUAGUCAUUGCAUGGGCAUGUUCCAUCCAUAAAAUGGUGGAACCUGUUUGCAUCCCUUACGACUAUAGGUCUUCCAGUUGCCAUGGAGAUAUAUUUGAUCGCAGAAUGACAAUCUCCACAAAUGCGAAGAUUCUUAAAUACCCUAAUAGAUUUCGGACUGGAGGUGCUUAUAAGGCCAAAAACGACAGCAAUUUUCUCACUGUGUUGGAGCAAAUAUUGUUCCUUUUGUCCCUCCUCCACAUCAUGAAGAACAAAUUGAGUACUCGGAAAAUAACCCAGUUUCUUUAUUCUACUAGCCAAUCGGUCUAGUUCCUCAUAGAUCUCCCAUGCCUUCGGAUGUGAAGCAUCGCCUGUUGGAAAAAGUUUAGAAUACAUAAAAAAAAAAAAAUUUAUUGAAAAUACAUUACGAAGGAUUAGAAAAUAGAAAAACAAAUGUAUGAGGCGUGCAAGUACUGUCCUUAAGGAUAAUUCCGCCCCUCGGAGUACGAAACUUGGUGCGUAAUGCUUCAGUGGCUAUCGUCCCAAGAUACAACAGACAUUCAUCUAUACUCCGCACUGAAUAUUAGAAGGAAACAUAACAACUUUUAUGUAUAACCCAGCUGAAAGGAAAUGAAAGAUAUAUGAGAAUAUAUUGUGUCUUUAUGAGAUCUUAUUUUUAUAUUUAGACAAAAUAGAGCCGUUAAAAGAGCCGUUGUAAAAUAAUGGAUGAUUUAUUUGAGAAAUAAAUUAAACGUUACAAAACGAUUUAAAAAGCCAUUAUAUGACCAUUAAGAAACCGUUAUGUGACCGUUAAAAAUAAUGAUGAUUUUCAAUGCGAUCAUAACUUUUAUCGAAGCUAUUAUUGUAAAUAUUUCAAAACUGCUGAAAUAUCCAACAAUCCCCCACAUAUUUCAGAAAGUUUUGACAAGAAAAUAAAAUAAUGCUGGGUUAUUGGAGAGUAAUGUAUCGGAAUUGGUGCUUGUUAGGUUAUGAACCAACCCUAGAAAGAAUGAAAUAUAAUUAAUGAAAUCAUUAGUGAAGUUUGAAACUUCUAUGAACUAAAAAUUUCUUUUGUGAAUUAUAAUUUUCAUCAAUCACAUUAUACUCCCACAAACUUUGUUGUUCAACGCGGUUUUGCGCUAAUAGGCCAUGCGCAUGCUUGGUUUAUUCAUAAGUGCUUCAGAGAUUUUCGCCAAAAAAUCUCAUAAGAGCGGCCCCACUCCACACUUAUAUAGGUGAUUCCAUCAAGUGUAUUAUGCAGUUUAAUACACCAUCAAUAAUGGCUAUGGAAUUUCAUUAAGAACUUAGCUCAACCUCUUUUUCCUUGUAAUUUUGCACUAUUUUCACUUUAGAAUGGACAAUAAAUUUUAAUAGUGCACUAAAUCAAUAAAUGACUUGUUAUUACCAAUAUGAACCUAAUUCAUGGGAUCGCCAAUCACAUAAGUUAGGUUACCAUCACUGUUGAUUUUCUUCAAUUGGCUUGUCCCAUUCCCUUCGAUGUAUAGUCAAAUGAUUGGCCAAAUCAUUUCUGACUUAAUAUAAUCGAUUGAUAUAAAUCCCUUUUAUAAGGAAUUAUUUUAUCACAUCACGUUUCAACCAAACGUCUCUUUUUGCCAUUGAAAGUUUCAUUCUUUGCAAUAGCUAUUGCCUUUUGGCAAUCAUAAUGUCUAGACAUAAGUGUUAUUUCAUUUCCAUAGGAACAUACAGUAAGAAAUUUCUCAACUACUCAGCCUCAAUUUUAAUGAGUUUGAGAAAUUUUUCUUCUUCCCAAGAACUUGAGUAGUUCUUCAAUCAUCAAGAUAAAUAUUUUCUUCUCCUUCCUUACUAGAGGUUAGGAGGAUAAAGCAUUAUGUUUUUAACAUAUAUGCUUGGUAGUACCUAAGUCUGUCUCAAAUUCUUUUGCAUUUGCCAAAAUAUUGGCUUGGAAAAUGACUACAACAAUUACAUCAUUAGAUCAUCUACUUCAACCAAGUCAAAUUUUGGUUGAGCAGGAUUGUCAUUUCCCCCACAAUUUCAUUUGACUGCUUUUUAUGUUGCGACACCUCCACAAGGUGGACACAUAUUCAUUUGUGGAUUUUGUCUCAUAUGAAUCCGAGAUCCACUUAACAUCACUGUAUUAUUCUAAUACAGUGAAAAAUCCACUAUGUAAAAAUGUCAUAGUUUUAUAUUCACAUGGCCGCAAAAUCCAUAAAAAUUCUAUUGUUGUGAAAAUUGAUCUCACCUGAGAUGUUCAUUGGUUGUCGUGGAGUCUUUGACUUCUGUCUCUUCACGCUGAUCUCUACUCAAAUCAGCCAGACAUACAAGUUCGUUGAUGAUGGCAUAUUCAUUCAAAGAAAAUUUUGCACUAGGAGCUGCUCUUAUUCUAAUAAAAAGAAGCUUGAAGAAGUGAGUAUUUGUAAGGACAAAUUUGGCCUCCACCAAACCCAAUACCAAGCACUUGUCAACACUAAAUGGUAUAUCAACGAUAGAAAAUUUGUUGCUUUGCUAAAACAUUUAUAAAAGUAGCAUUAUGAAAUCAUCAUAAAUCCCAUUUGCAAGUGUUGAAUCCUCAUCAGCAAUGUUACAUACACAUGUAGGAGCACAAAAACACUAAUUAACGCUCGACUCUAAAUCCUACCACAAAAAGUCCUAUCUUAAGAUCGAUGACAAGAUGAUUACCACUCUUAACGCAAGUGAAACUAUUCACACCAAAAAAAAAAGAAUAAAAUAGUUCACAUUUUAGAAAGGAACAUUAGCUACAAUCCUUGAGAUUGGCUAUGCAUUGAACGUUAUUUACUGUCCUUGACCCACAUAUUAGAUAAUGGAAAGUAAGCAGUACGCAAUGGGUCAAAUGAAGCAAAGGAUAUCUAAAGUUAUUAUAAGAUAUACAAUUACCUUGGUCUUGCGCUACCAUAAGAGUGAUCUUGCGCUACCAUAAGAGUGAUGGCUCUUUAAUACGAAUAUCAUAAAAUCUUCUAUUUCAGUUUAAAUUUUUACCUGCAGCUUCUAGAAGGUAACAAAAUAAGGUGACAAUAAGUUUUUAACAAAUCUUGAAUGUCACUAAUAGUGUCCUGUCUCCUAGAUAAGUUCUCAUCAUGCUCUGUUAAAGAGGCAAUAAAAUGUCACAAAUUAAAAUGAUACAUGAAAAUACCACCACUUUCACUUUACAAGCACUAGACUAAAAAUGAACUGGCUAAAUCUCUUCCACUGGCACUCAGAGUUUAUUCAAAAUCUCAAACUGAGAAAGAAACAACUACCGGCAUGCAUCCAUCAAUGGUGCUCAUCCAAUAUCCCUAAAAUAUAAAGCAGGGCAAAGACAAAAUGCAAAAAUAUAUAUAGCUUGAUUUCGUAUGUUGUACCUCCUCUAUUUUUAAUGAGCAUAAAGAAGGCCAAUAUGAGACUCAUAAUUUUCAGCUUGCAUUAUUAACAAUUGCACCAGAUAGAAAGGUCAAAGCCAAGCAAUAGUCAAAAUAAAACCUACUAAUAUAACAGUUCAAAGUUAAAUCAAAUACACCACCCAAUCACAAUCACUAUUGCUCUCUUCUAAUGGAAGAGCAACUGACGCCUUAAUGAAUUUUCCAAAAAAUUAAACAACAAGAAGAACAUGGUUCUACUAACAACAACAUCAUUGCAGUGGUUCUCAAGCUUGGAGACAUACUUCUUGUCCUAUCAACACAAAAAUUCCUUGAUGGAUACUAGAAGUCAUUAACAUUCAGAUGGUAAGAAUUUGAAACCAUUUUGUAAAGUAAAAUUUACUCACAAAAAUCCAAAGUUUCCAUUUUUUUUCUUUUUCAUUUCUAAAAUAUGAAAUGGGUCACUACAUAAUGGUUAAUAUCAAGCGGUCAACCAAUUAAAACAAUAGGAACAAUCUCUAAUCCUAAAAUUACAACUUCCAAAUCAUGAACAGAAUUAAAAUAGGAAACCCCAAUGCGGAUUGAAGCUUACGAAUAAUCACAAAUUUGAGUGAGCAAAUAAUUACAAGCACCCAACUUCCUCUCGAAACAAAUUUAGGUAUUAAAGCCUCAAAGUACGAUUUUACCUUACAUUCAAUAACCUUACCAAAACGACCAAGAAACCUUUGACGAUGCUCAGUAAUUUCCCACAACAUCUGCCCAUGAAUAUGUGAUACUUGUACUUCACCAUCUCGAUCAGUCUUUCAAUUCCAAUUGCGGUGGUGGCGACAGCAACAACUUCAACUUGGAAAUCCAUAGGACUUAUCCUUAAGAUUGUUGGAACAAGAAGGAUUAGAAAAUAGAAAAACAAAUGUUUGAGGCGUGCAAGCACUGUCCUUAAGGAUAAUUCCGCCCCUCGGAGUACGAAACUCGGUGCAUAAGGCUUCAGCGGCACUGAAUAUUAGAAAGAAACAUAACAAUUUUUAUGUAUAACCCAGCUCAUAGGAAAUGAAAGAUAUAUGAGAAUAUAUUGUGUCUUAUGAGAUCUUAUUUUUAUAUUUAAACAAAAUAGAGCUGUUAAAAGAGCCGUUGUAAAAUAAUGGAGGAUUUAUUUGAGAAAUAAAUUAAAUGUUACAAAACAAUUUAAAAAGCCAUUAUAUGACCGUUAAGAAACCGUUAUGUGACCGUUAAAAAUAAUGAUGGUCUUCAAUACGGUCAUAACUUUUAUCGAAGCUAUUAUUGUAAAUAUUUCAAAACUGCUGAAAUAUCCAACAGUGAAAUAUCCAACAUCACCCACAUAGAACUUGUGAACUGUAUUUUUCACUUCAAUCCAGCUACAACCAGCUUCUUUUGUAAGAUCUUUCAGUUUCAUCUUCUUUCUGAUUGCUGCAGCAUCUUCCCAUAGACCAGCCGAGGCAUAAAUAUUUUAUAGCAAAAUAUAAGUCGCAGUGUCAUCUGGUUCUUGCUCAAAAAUCAUUGCUGCAGCUUGUUUUGCAAGUUCAACAUUGCCAUGAACUCGGCAAGCUCCGAGAAAUGUACGCCAGACAAGUGUAUCAGCCCGGAAAGGCAUUGAAUUUAUAAACUGAAGGGCUUCGACAAGGGAUCCUGAUCUGCCCAAUAAGUCCACCAUACAUGCAUAGUGUUCGGUUCUAGGCACGAUUCCAUGUUCUGUGUACAUUGACCUAAAGUGUUUCCAUCCAUCAGAUAUCAAACCCACAUGACUACAAGAGGAUAAAACAGCAACAUAGGUGAUCUCAUUUGGCCUCACACCAGCAUCAAGCAUUUGAUGGAAUGUGUCUAGAGCUCUCAUCCCAAAUCCAAGCUUUGCAAAACCAGUAAUCAUUGAAGUCCAAGUUAUGACAUUUUUCUCUCUUGUCCCACUGAAAACUCGAAAAGCAGCUUCUAUGUUUCCACACCUGGAAUACAUAGAGAUCAAAGCAUUGGAAAUGCACUGAUUUGAGUCAAGCCCUGAUUUUACCAUCCUCGCAUGGAUUUGCUCCCCCUUACCAAUAGCGCCAACGCAGGCAACUCCACUCAAAAGGCUGGCAAAUGUAAAAGCACUUGUUCCGAUCCCUCUCUCCUCAAUCUCAUGUAGUAGUUCAAAGGCUUCAUCGGACUCCAAACUUUUGGCAUAGGCAUCUACAAGGGUAUUAUAAGAAACCAGAUUCUUUUCAAAUAGUGCAUCAAAAGCUCUCUGAGCGUCUUCCAUGUGGCCCGACCGGGAAUACAUGCUGACAAGAGAAUUACCCACGCAAGUAUCACAGGCAAAGCCCAAUUUUAUAGCUAGUGCAUAUAUUUGUAUCCCCAUAUCUACAUCACAAAUAUUUCCACAUGCCUUGAGAACACCAGCAAAUGCGAAAUCGUUUGGCCUCACGGGACCUUUUGUCAUUUCCCAAAAGAGCUUGAUAGCCUCCUCAUUCUCUUCCGCCCGUGCAUAUCCUGUGAUUAUCGCCGUCCAAGACAUUACAUUGUGAUCUUGCAUCUGAUCAAACACCUUUCUCGAAUCAUGAAGCGAUCCACCAUCUACAGACUUGACAUACAUGUCCAGCAAACUGCAUCCAACACAGACAUCCGAAGCCAAUCCAGACCGUAUAACCCAGGAAUGCAAUUGUACCCCGAGCGAUAGUAACUCCAACUCUGAACAUGCAGACAAAACAGCCGUGAGUGUAAAUCUAUCUGGCACAGGCCCACUCACCAGCAUAUCCAAAAACAAAUCAACAGCUUUCUUUGGACUACCCAACUGAGUACAUCUCGUCAUCAUCAAAGUCCAAGCAACCACAUUCCUCUCGGGCAUUUUCUCAAACACCUUACGAGCUGAAACCAAAUCAGCACUACCCUUUGCAAACAUGUCAAUCAAUGCACACCCAACACACACAUCAGAAUCAAGAUAGCCGCUUUUGAUAAUAAACCCGAAAACCGUAUCGCCAAUAGAUGCACUCUCCGGGACCGAGCAAGCCCGAGCAACCGCCGCGAAACAAUAAUCAUUAGGGAAAAACCCAUCCUCGAGCAUAUGAACGAACGUAUCCACCGCUUCAAACUCCAUGUGAUUAUUGGCAUAGCAGGAGAUCAUGGAACUCCAAGAAACCAUGUCCCUCUUAUCGCCCAUGUCCCCAAAAACCCUCUCCGCCUCAGCCCAGUCGUUGGAUUUCGAGUAGAGACUGAUGAGCGAGUUGAGGAUCACCGAGUCGGGCUCGAGCCCGGACCGGGCGAGCGCGCGGUGGACGCGCCUCCCCAGCGCGAACGCGCGGGAGCGGAUGCAUGACUUGAGGAGGAGCGACAAGGUGAGGACGUCGGGGUGGGACCCGUCGCGGGACGCGAGCUCGAGUCACUAGAUAGCUCCGCGGAGGUCGCCGCCAUCGAGGCGGGCGACGAGGCGGCGGCCGUCGAGGGGCGAGGGGGGAAGGUUUUGGCGGGAAGGAGAGAGCUUGACGGUGGACGGUGGAGGGAAGAGAGAGAAAUUCAUUGCUCCAUGCAAGACCAGCAUGGCCUGCUACAUCAAGAAAUGAAAAUAGAUAGGUUCAUGAAUUACAUGGUCAAUUAUGCUUUUGAUUGAACUACUUUUAUUUUGCAUUACUUCUUACCUGAGAAAAGAUAAUCAAACGAUGGACGAUCUCGUAAUUUUAUUGUUAUACAUAAGUUAUCGGGACACUUAAUGUAUUUAAGAACGAUUCAAGUUCUGUUUGAGUGUUCACAUCAUCAACUCGUUUCUCGAAUGAAUACAAAAGAGGGUAGAUACUUUAUUAAUAUCUUCUUCAAACAUGUCUAGGGACUCUUUUUUAGGGGUGAUUAGUUCCUAACACUUUAUUAAUAUAUCCUUCAAACAUGUCUAGGGACCCUUUUUAAGGGGUGAUUAGUUCCUGAUUCAGUUCGAUUUCGAUGCGGAAUCAGAAAUCCAUUUGUAAUAUUAGAAAAGUAGUCGGGAAAUAGAUUUGGAACAAAAAUAAAAAAGUAAAAAAAAAAUAACUUCUUGUUCUCGGGAACAAUUUCUAGAAAUAAGUUUGUUUUCUUUUCUUUUUCUUUUCUUUUCUUCUUUUCUUCUUAUUCGUUGGCGACCACACCCUUUGCCGCUUGUCGUCGGCUGACUGCCGUUGCUGCCACCGCCAUCUAUCACCACCCACCACUAAUGACCGCCGAUGACGCCACCCACCAGCUAGCUAACAAACUACAGUCACCAUUAUGGCAUUGAAAUUUUUUCCAAUCUAGAAACUUGAAUAAUAUUUAACUCUUGCCAUUAGCAAAUUGACAAAUUAGCCAAAGGAAAAAUGGCAAAUGUACACUUAAGAAAUAAUUUGAAUUUCAUGAACAGAUCAAACUGCAUACUUGGUCCAAAGCAAACGAUCAAAUCGCAUUGUUUCCUUCUUAUGUCCGAAACAAACAGAAGCUUUUGAGAAUGCUCAUGCAUUGCUACCAUUAAACGAAGAUUUAUAUGCUAAUCCCUACUGGGGACAACCACUAUAAAUAGUGAAGACUUGAGCCUCUCUCGAGAUGCAAAAUAGGAGUGAGCACAAAAAUUAAGUAAAGGAUAUCAAGUUAAGGAUGCUCCUUCAAGAGUUGCAGUUAUGCUAGUUGGGUCCCUUUUAAUGUUCUAUAUUGUUCAAGGUGCUCCGAACACUAACAUAACUUAUAGGGGCCGCAAUGGUGGUACCUAUUCGAGCAACGACCCUAAUGCAGACAGCGUGGCUUAUGUCCUCGCUGACAUGGCGACUGUCACACCAAAUCAUGCAAAUUACGACUACUACACCGCGUCUCCUUAUCCCACGGCAGCUGCCUAUGGUCAUGCCCCCUGUAACCCGGCACUUUCUUUCAGCGAUUGCGGUAUAUGUGUUAGCGCUGCUAAGGCUCGAAUAUUGGCAGACUGUCCAAACAUUUUUCGGCAUCGAUAUGGUGUGAAGAUUGCAGUAUGAAGUAUGAAAACUAUUUAUUUACUGAUUAAAUAGUUCGCCGCCAAACCAGAGAGCCGUGUUCUAUUGUAUGCGGUUGUUUCUGCCGCACAUGUUGCCAUGUUUGUUUUUGCAAGAAAUGACAUCCUAGAAGAUAUGCUUUCUUUGUCAAUUUAAAGUUCUCAAAAUAAUACUUAUUUAUUAUGAUGAAAAAACCUAACAAAAUAUCUAUAAGCUAAUGACUAGUGUGAAAAUGUGCCGUGUAUCUAAUCCAUUCUUACGUUCAUUAGAUUUGUUAUUACGAUCCAAAAGUAUGCAAUUACUAUAUGCUGUGUAUCUUCCCCUUAUUCCAACUACCUACAUUUAUCACAAGAGUAUGCAAUUACUAUAUGCCCAUUUCCAAAAGUUCUAUAGAAUAAUCGAGAAAGCCCUUGUCUCUGGAGAUAAUCAAGGAUUGCUCGUUCAUGGACAGAAACCUUUUAGAUCGUAUCACUUCCUUGGACCAUAACACAUGUGCCUUACUUCACUUUACACCAUCUGAUAAUCUUAUUAUUUCUUAAUUUGGCACACCCAUCUUAUUAUGAAGAAAAGAUGCAAGAGACCACAUUUUGGUAUAAUCAAAAACACGCGAUGUACCUGACUAGCUUUCCACGUAGUCGAAUAUUCCAGCUUGAUUGCAAUUAUUAGGAUCAAUAGUGGAAGAUAAAGCACUAUCUACAAAAAUGGGAAGAAAAAUGUUUUGGGCAAGAUUUUGUGCUCUGGAGGAGAAGAAGCACCACCAAAUUGUGAAGGUAAUUGAAAAAAACUCUAAACCCACUGCAUUUUAAGCAAUUCAGUCAUAAAUCUUUUAAUUUUACCAAUUGACUUCUAAUUUUUUUUUUCACUUAUCAGCAGUUGAUUCUAUUCUGCCAAUUUUGGCCAAAAAUUACUAACAUAGACGGCUGGGUUGACGUGACAUUUUUUAAAUAAUAUUUUAAUAAUAUUUUGAAGGUCGAGGCGAGGGCGGGCAACCCUCACCUCUGGUAGGCCCUCGUCUAAGCUUCGGUGACCUAGUCGGCCUUUGCUGCCGUCCCAUUGGCAAUGGGGGGCGGUAGCCACAGGGGAGAAUAAGCACCCUCUCCCUCUCACUUCUGUUUUCCUUUUUCUAAAAGUUUUUUUUCUAAAGAAAAAAGGAAAAAAAUUUAAAAAAUUUAAAAAAACAAAAUUGUCAUAUAUAGACUCUUCUUUGAGACUAAUAUUGGCAUUUCAAGCACUUAUUUGAGACAAUGAAUGCACUUCGGCCCCUUAUUUAAAAUAAAAUUCACUUUAAACUCUUAUUUGAGAAAAUAAAGGCACUUGAGGCCAUUAUUUGGAAUUUUCUCAAAAAACAAAAUUAAAAAAAAAAUUAAGAAGAAUAAAGUAAAUGGCUAAUGAUUUUCCUCACAAGAUUUUCAAAUUUCCAGUAUGAUAAUUUAUUUGCUCUGAAGGAAUAAAAGUUUCUUAGGGCAAAAAUUGCUAGAAAAAUAAGCAUCACCUUUUAAAGAAGGACAAAAGGAUCACAUUCUCCUUGCUCGAGGAACUCUUGAGCAAGAUGACCCAAAAUGCAUAUCAUUCUCAUCUUAAUUUAACCUUCAUGACUUAGCCUUCAUACGUAAGGAUUCAACUGACUGCCAUGGAAACACUGAAGUUGAGAGAACAUGUGACAUUUCAACGUCCAACACACUACACAAUCAUUUUGUGCGGAAAAAUUCUACAAUUAGUCAUAAACCUCUAGCACAUAAAUCAAUUGAGUCUUAAACCUUUCAAUUGAAAUAAUAGAAUCCUAAAAUUUUGUGGGAAAAUGCAAUCAAGUCCUCUCAUCCAAGUCUUGUUUGAUUUAUCUAAUGUGGCAAUCCAGUAAUCGCCAUCUAUCCUAUGUAAUGUUUCUAUCCUAUGUAAUGGCGACGACAUGACGUGGUCUAUUUUCAUCGAGAUGACGUCGCUUUCAAACUUACUGGUCAUCAUCUUUUAGCUUGCAUUCGCUUGGCUAGAGCUCCUCUGGUGCUCGUCCAUUGCUGUCCACUACUGCUUGGACCUUCGACGGUGUGCUGCCACCACUAUCGACCUAGAGGUGUGAAUCAAAUUCUAUGCAUUAAUAGUUCCUCAUAGCAACCAAUCUAAGGAUAGAAAGAAACCAACCACAAAACCCAACUCAAGACAUCUCACAGAAUAAGGUGGCACGAUUGUAAUGCACCAAUGGCUUAGUAUCGAAUGCCAACUAAGCCUCAAAAUUGCAAAAUUCGAUUAGUGCAAUUCCAUAGUAAAACAUUGCCCAUGGAGGCAUGUUGCUUUAUGAUAAGUACUAUCCUCUCAAACAAGGAACUUCCAUUUAGGAAGAAAACAAUCCUAUACAUUGCUUGCUUGCAUUAAGCUAUCCAUUGAGUUUGUGACUAUGUAACGCAAGCUGUUUGGCUGUGCUCUUACAAUAAUGUCUUGAUGCCUGGUGUAUUCCUUCGUUGAUGGCCCACAGCGUGAAUCUAUUUUGAAAAUGAUGUUCCCUUAAUGACUGUACUCUCAAUUCUUGCAAAGAUUGAAGGUUUCAAGGCCUCUAGUUGAUAUCGAUAUCUAACACUAAAGGAUCAAUCUGAGGUGAGUCGACAUAAUUUACAGUAAAGGAUACACCAUGCCCGCGACUUUCCAGCAAAAGAAAUCAUAAAGCUUCUUUUGAAACUGAAGCCUGAUGAUGCACUUGCACAUGGUUCUAGUCAGCGAAGAAUCUCGAAAAGUGAAAUUAAAACCAUCAUCGCAAAAACAGUGGCUUUGCUUCAGUGGGUAAGCCCAUAGACCAGCUUUUGUAAACAAGAAAAUGGACAACAGAGAGCUGAGUUGAUCCAAUUGUUAUAUAUGCAGAACUUCGAAUUGAUCCUUUUGCUCGAAAGGUUCUUUCUUCUGAGUUCAAUCGAUCAUAUCGGCCAUGAUAUCCACACGUGAACUUUGCUAGAAGAGCGUUCUCUGGAAUGCUUCCAUGCUACUAUGAUUAUGUGAGGAAACAAAGAGGAGUGGGCGUGACAAGAGGAAGACUGUCCAAGCAAUCCUGCUGCCUUAAGCGAAACAUGCGAAAACAAACAGAAAAAUCAGUAAUUGAAACAGAUAAAAAAGGCAAGAAAUGAGCCUCCGUUGAGAGGCAACCCUAUUUAUUGGGAAAGUAAACCAAUUGAUAGAGUGGAAAUGACAAUGGAAAGGUAAAUCAUACGGGCCUGACUGUGAUGAAUUUGGUUGGUGUCGCUCAAGACGUCUAUGUGGUUUGGCAUCUGUCAAUGGUAUUCACCCAUCAGCAGAGGCUUUUCUGAAAAUCCCUCACAGUGCAAAGGAAAAGAUACUGCAAGUAGUUUUCAUACACUUGCUGCCACGUCCCUUAGUCAACAAGAAGCAGAGCAGAUAACCCAAACGUGUAAUCUACCUUAGAUGAUAAUCUGAGUAACUAGCUCGCCACAAAUAUUCUCCCCUAUUAAUGCAAAGUGCACAUCACCAUGAUCAGGUACCAUCCACUUCCACUUAUGCAUCUUCUUUGAAGUAACUACAGGACAUUGAAGGGAUCAGAUUGUCAGGAAAAGAGUAUAAAAGAAAACUAGUAUAUCUCUCUCCAGCACAUAAGUAACAAGCUAAUCUGGAUUUAUGGUAUAAUUUUUUGAACCCAACGCCCCCCCCCCCCCCCCCCCAAUCGAAAAAGGCUGACUCCCCCCCCCCCCCCCCCCCCCAAAAAAAAAAAAAAUUAUAUAUAUAGGUCCCUGAUAUUGGUGCAUAACGUCUGCAUUGCAGAUCUUUGGUACAAAGUAAAUGUAUUGCCAUUAACAUCAACUUAACUCAAGAGCAUCCUGACACCAUACAAAGUAAAUAUAUAGGUCCCCGAUAUUUUCUUGCACGCUACUAUUAUUAUAUUUGUGUCAAGACACAAAGAGUAGAGGGGGUAACAAGACUCUCCAGGCAAAUCCUGCAGUUGUGAGUGGAACAUGCAAAAACAAACCAAAACAUUUGUUUGUCUGAUGAUAAAACAGAAAACUGGCAAUGAAUUUACCUCUAUAGAGAGCGAAAGAAAGUUAAAUCCUAUGAGCCUGUUUGUAAUGAAGUUGAUUGGUGCCACUCCAGAUGUCAAUGUGGUUUGGCAAGCAAUGUCUGUCAGAGGCAUUCAUGUUCACGCAUCAACAGAUGCUUUUUGGAAAAUCCCUUGCAGUGCAAAGGAAAAGAUACUGAAAGUUGUUUCCAUACAGUUGCAGCUAUGUUCCUUAGUCAGCAAGCCGUCCAUCAAACUUUGCUGUGAGAAGCAGAGCAAAUAACCCAAAUAUGUAAUCAACCUGCAUGACAAUCUGAGUACCCAGCCCGCCACAAGUAUUCACUGUUAUUGAUUCAAAGUGCCCAUCACCAUGAUCAUAUACCAUCCACUUCCACCCAUGCAUCUUCUUUGAAGAACUAUGGCAAAUAAGACAUUGAAGGGAUCAGAGGUGUUAGGAAAAGAAAAUAAAAGAAAACCAGUAUCUCUCUCUCAAAGCACAUACAUUACACCCUGAAAAAAAAAGAAAAAAAAGUAGUUUUCUUUAGUCCCAUUGAGGAAGAGGUCCAUGAUACUUGUCUAUAAUGUCUGAAUUGCAUAUAGUACACAGUAAAGUUAUGCUAUUAACAUUGAUUUAAUUUGAGAACAUCCUCACACCAAUUGAUCAUUCAUAUGAAUUUGACCUGUUUGAUAAAUAGUAGGCACCAGAAGCACUAACCCACAAGUACAUCUACCAGUUAAAUACAGAUUUCUUGCAAAACCUAGGCAUACGAAAAGCAAAAUCAACCUUUCCCCCCUCCAAAAGCCUGAUAAUCAAGCAAGAGGAAAAAUCUCCCAGACUUAAAACAACUUCAUUAACGGGACAUGGGACUCAAGGAGGUGAUGUCUGGAAGAAAACCUGCUGUUAAUCUGGCUUACUCUCCAUCAAAUUUUAGAUGAAAAAGUGGACAGAUCUCACACACAAUGGAGAAAUGAAGGAGCUCCAUUUGUCAAGAGAAAUUUAACCCACAACUCCAUUGUUGCUAAGUCUGCAGAAAAACCCCUUUCAACCAUUUCACCAACAAGUUGCGCUGCUCUCGUAUUUUCGUUAUCUCUUAGUAGUCCUUGGAUGAUUGUGUUAUAAGCGACACCAUCCGGAAGGCAUCCAUUUCCUUGCAUCUCCUUUAGCAGCUGAUAUGCUUCCUCUGUGCGUCCUCCUUUGCACAAUCCACGCAUGACAAUACUAUACGUCCACACGUUAGGUUGCAACCCUCGAGCAUGCAAACAAUCAAACAGCCCUAUUGCAUCGUCGAGCUUUCCGGCAUUACACAUGCCAUUUAUUAGGAUACUGUAAGUCACGAUGUUAGGGAUGAUUUUGGAAUCUUCCAUCUUUUGAAGCAAUAUCAUGGCCUUGUCAAUCUGCUGCGCUUUACACAAGCCAUUGAGGAAAGCACCCAAGGUAUAAUGAUUUGGGGAGAGAUCGCGAGAAUGCAUCUCAUUAAUUAGCUCCGCUGCGGCUUCAAGGUUCCCAACCUUGCAAAAUCCGUCCACGAGAGUGUUGUAUGUGAUGACAUCAGGAAUCAGGCCCCUUUGAAGCAUUUCUUGGAAAAACAUCUUUGACUUGUCCAUUCUUUUCGCUUUGCAGUAUCCGUUAAUCAACGUGUUAUAAGUAACAACAGUAGGUGAGCAGCCUCUUUCAACCAUCAAAUUAAGCACUUCCAUUGCAUCUUUCAUCCUAUUUUGCAAACAAUAACCAUUCAUCAAUGUACUGUAGAUGAAAAUAUCAGGCACUUUACCUAAUUGAAUCAUCUGGUCGACUACGGCCUCUGCCUCUACAAGCAAUCCCUCUUUACAAUGUGCAUCCACCAGGAUACCGAAGGUUAGAACGUCAGGCAUGACUCUGCUUUGCACCAUACGACUCAGCAGUCUUCGGGCCUCUUCCAAAUGGCCGGAAUUGCAAACUCCUUGAAUGACGGAGGUAUAAGUAACGACGUCCGGUUCGAUUCCUGCGUUCAUCAUCUUCUCCAACAAGACCAUAGCAUCUUUCCAUUGGCCUCGGUUGCAUAAGCAAUGAACCAAGGAGCUAUAAGUGAAUAUGCUGGGUUGGAUGCCUCCGCUCGUCAUCUGUUUCAACAAUACGAGAGCACCUUCCAUCUGGCCUACAUCGCACAUACUGUGGAUCAAGGAAUUAUAAGUAACAACAUCUGGUUCAACGCCUUUCUUGCUCAUAAUGCCGUGGAGUCUCAAUGCCUCUGUGAUGAAUCCCUUCUUGCAAAGACUAUCUAUUAUUAUGCCGUAUGCGAAGGAAUUGAGCCUGCAGCCUCUCUCUUCCCAGUCCCUCAGCAAUUCAAUCGCCAAUCUAGUGUUACCCACCCUGCAUAAACCCUUUGCGAUUAUGGCAUACGUGGUCUCAUCAGGUUCGGGGCCAUUUCGUCCCAUAUCAUCGAGGAACCUCAGUGCUUGAUCAGUUUUGCCCUGAAUAAAGAGACCAUCAAUUAAGGUACUCGAUGCCACCACAUCGAUGGGAAACCCAAGCUUCAAGAUUCUGCCCAGGAUAGACAAACCCAAAUCGACCCGCUGUAACCGACAGAAGCAAUUCAACGAAAUAUUCAGCCAAAUAUGAUUAUCUUCAACUCCUAACGAACGCAGCUGCUCAAUCAAGCGGAUGGCAGUGGAGUAGUGCUUCAUCCUCACUACAGCACCCAACAGAAGACUGAAAUCCCGGGGGGAAGGCAAAGGGUCCGUCUUCAUCAAUGCACCGAAGCAACGCUGGGCAUCGCCGACGCUCGAAAACACACCACCAUUCCUGCAAAUUUUCCUCGCGUGACUCAAGACCUCGCUUGGGUCAUCUAAAUUAAGGUUAGGGGUCGAGGAAAACCGACGACGACGACGACGACGGCGAGACGAGAGAGGGAGGAUGGAAGGGGAUGAUGGCUGGCUGGAGAUCGCAUGAAGAAGGAGGAAGAUGGAAGAAGCAGGGCGGCGGAGACUCGUCGGCUUCAUUGCUCUGGGGCCUCUCUCUCUCUCUCUCUCUCGAACCACGAGAGUUUCUCCCAAUGCGACGGUAGUAGCUGAAAAAUUACAGGGGAAAAUAUGGAAUUCAAUUUAUUUGAAAAUAGAUAACACAACCGAUGGUCCGUGAAUUUUACUAAUUUGGAGUCUUUUAUUCAAAACAAGGAUCGCAUUGACAUUAAAAAAGAAAUAAUUUAAAGACCCAAUUUGAGCUACUUUAAAGUUCAUGGAUGACUUCAUACAUUAGACAUAGUUGAAAAACCUAACUACACCUAUUAAAAUUUUUGGGAAGACAUGGACAUUCUGCAUAUUGAACAAAAAUCCAUGGAGCUAUUAGUGUCAUUGUCACAAUACGAGAAUAAUCCUACUAGCAAUUACGUACCCUUUUCAUUUAUCUUUUAUUAAAAUAUUUGGUCAAUUAAUCAAAUAAAGUAGCUAAAAAAACUUCAGGAGAAAGGAAAAUGAGAGAAAUCGCUUCUCAUCAUCUCCAUUGACUUUUUAACACUAAGCAACUUUAAGAUAAAAUUCAAAAUAAAAGCCUAGCGUGCCUUUAUUUUCUCAAAUAAAGUCCGAAGUAAACCUUGUUUCAAACAACAACACGAAGUGCAAUCAUUUUUUCAAGUAAGCACUCAAAGUAGAUCUUAUUUCAAACAAUGGCCUGAAAUAAUUAUAUCUAUUUCAAGGCCUAAUAUUCCGACUAGUCAAGAGCAUUUUGGUCAUUUAUCUUUUUUAUUGAAUAUUUUCCUUUCUUCUUUCUUUUUCCCGUUUUCCUUUACUUUUUUCUAGUUUUUCUUUCUUCAUUGCCGCCGAUGGCCAUCGAUGAUGCUGGAAAGGGUUGGGCAAGGAUUGCCCUUGCUCGCUGCUAGUAAGGGCCCCUCAUCGGCCACAAGUGAGGCCACCCUCACUAGAUUUAGCGAGGGUCGGCUUGACCUAGGGCGACGAGGGCCCAACGACCCUCACCAGCCACUAGCGCUAGGUAAGGUAGGCGAGAGUCACCUCACCCAAUCGCUAACAGCCGAUAAGGGUCGCCAAGCCCUCGUUGGCCCUAGGCAAGGCUAACCUUUGCCACAUUUGGCGAGGGUGGCCUUGAGCACAACCAACGAGGUUAGCAUAUCCCUUGCCAGCCCUUGCCAGCGGUCGAUAAGGGUGGCCAAGCUCUUGCCAGCCCUUACUAGCGACAACCCUUACCGACGGCCGCUCGCCAUCGUCACAUUAAAAAAAAAAAAAGUUAAACAAGGACAGAAAAAAAUAAUAAUAAUAAAUAAUCUAAAAUUAAAAUUGUAAUAGGACAAAAACACCCUUAAUUGGUCGAAAUGUUUAGUCUGCUGAAGCCGAAGACGGAUGAGGUCAAGCUUUUAUUUGAAACGACCAUAGCCACUUUAUGUCUUUAUUUAAAAUAAUCAUGAUCAUUUCAAGCAUUUAUUUGACACAAGAUUUACUUCGAGCCAUUUUUUGGAAUUUUCCCCAACUCUAAUGACUAAAAUAUCAGUAUUAUCUUGAAUAUACUUUCCUUGAAAAGACAGUCAAUAUUUUUAAUUUAAGGAUUUAUUUGUUUUAAGAAAAAUGAAAGACUUGAAAAACAUUUCUCUAAAAAAUGAUUGGUUAUGUUGCUCUAAAUAAUUAGCCAACAAAAAAUAUUUUCAUUAUCGAUAAUAAUUUGUGCCUGAACUUUAUUGUGGACGAUAAAAAUAUUUUUCGUUCAUAUAUUUUUGUUAGCAAUACAAUUGAUUAUAUUUAGAAAAAAAUAUUUUCUAAAUUGUGAUUUUUCACAAAACAAGCUAACCUAAGACUAAUCAAAUAAUUGAUUUGACUUGCAGUUCCAAUACGUUGGAAAAUACAAGUAAAUCUUAUAUAUUGAAAAAGUCUAUGCUGAUAAACAUGGCUGCUCAGUGCACGAAAUAAUGAACCCUGCACUUCCAAGAGGCCAACAUGUUGAUCCACAUGUUAUAACCCUGCUACAUUGAAGCGUAAUAGCUUGUUUUAUGGACAGCAAUGCUUACAUACACUAAGGGUGCAUUUGGAAAAACUUUUGGGGAAAGUCUUUAGGAAAAUGCAAAGGCCUUUUAAUGGUAUUUUUCAAAAUGCAAACUGUUUUUGGUAAAUUGUAAUUUAAAAGCCCUUGUGAAGUACCUUUGAGCAAAAUGGUGUUUGGAAGACAAAAGACUUUUGUGAAAAAAAAUAUUAUCAAAAAAUAAAAAUAAAAAAAAUGAAAACCGGCAAGGGCAGGCGGCAUCCGACGGCGACCCCCGGCAACCUUCGGCAACCCCGGAUCUAGGCCGGCGAGGUCGCGCGCGUCGCACGAUGCCGCCUCGACCUCCGAGAACCCCGAUUGGCCGUCGCGAGGCUACGCAACCCUUGCUUGAGGUUGGAGGACCUCGGCGAGGGCCGUGCUUGGGUCGUGCGACCUCGGCGAGGGUUGCGCCUGGGUCGUGCGACCCGAGCAACUACCGCCGAGGCCACCCUCGAUGGAGAAGAUGAACACUGAUUUGAGCAGCUACAGCUAGGGCCACCCUCGACGGAGAAGUUGAAUGGUGCUCCUCAUAAGGGCAAAAAAUGGAAAACAAAAAGUUCGUAAGGAUAAUUUCGGAAAUAUAUAUAUAUGAAUGAACAGUACCCCGAGCGGGCAUGCCGGAAAAGCCGAAAGCCCAAGGCAGGUCCUCCCCUGCCUUGGGCUUUCAGCCUUCACAAGGCUGGCCUUCUCCAAAGGGGGCUUCAAAUGUUUUUGCCAAACACCCCUACUUUAGCCCAAAGAUCUUUAGGGGCGCAAAGAUACUUGGCAAAGUGGUUGACAAACGGAGCCUAACUGUCCCUCCAGAAAGAACUUCAAAGUACUUGGGUCGGGUUUUUUGUGUUGACUGACUGCAAUGAAGUUGGUUGGUGUCGCUCAAGACUUCCAUGUGGUUUGGCAUUGGCCACUGGGAAUGUCUGUCAACAGCGUUCAUGUUCACCCAUCAGCAGAGGCUUUUCUGAAAAUCCCUAGCAGGGCAAAGGAAAAGUUACUGCAAGAAGUUUUCAUACACUUGCUGCCAUGUUACCUUGUCGGCAAGAAGCAGAGGAGAUAGUUUCCUUAUUAUUUGCCAUGUAAGAAACUAAGAGCAGAGGGCACGAUGAGAGGCAGACUGUCCAGGCAAACCUGCUGUUUUGAGUGGAACACACAAAAACAAACCAAAACAGUCUUCCUCAGUCAGUUAUUAAAACAGUAAAUUGGCAAUGAAUGUACUCUAUUGAGAGCGAAAGAAAGUUACAUCCUACAGGCCUGUCUGUAACGAAGUUGAUUGGCCCCAUUCAAGAUAUCCACGUGGUUUGGCAUUGGCAAUGUCUGUCAGCAGUAUUCAAGUUCACCCAUCGCUAGACACUUUUCAGAAAAUUCCCCGCAGAGCAAGGAAAAGAUACCUUAACUUGUUUCCAUAUACUUGCAGCCAUGUUCCUUAGUCAGCAAGCCAUCCCUCAAACUACGAUGUAAGAAGCAGAGAAAAUAACCCACAUAUGUAAUCGACCUGCGAUGAUAGUCUGAGUACCCAGCUCACCACACAUAUUCAUCACUAUUGAUUCAAACUGCCCAUCACCAUGAUCAUAUACCAUCCACUUCCACCUGUGCAUCUUCUUUAAGAACUACGGUAAAUAAGCCAUUACAUUACAUUAUCUCUCUCUCUCUCUCAAAGCACAUACAUUACACCCCAGGAAAGAACAUUGUUUUCUUUAGUUCCAUUUUGAGGAAGAGGCCCAAGAUAUUUGUGUAUAACGUCUGAAUUGCAUAUAGUACACAGUUAAGUUAUUGCUUUUAACAUCUAUUUAAUUCAAGAACAUCCUCACACCCCUUGAUCAUCUGUAUGAAUUUCACCUGUUGAUAUAUAUUAGGCACCAGAAGCACCAAUGAUGAGUCCAUGUACCAGUUAGAUACAGAGACUUAUUACAGAACCUAGGUAUCCAAUAAACAAACUUCACCUUCCACCCUUCCAAAAGCCUCGUAAUGAAGCAAGAGAGAGCAUCUCCCUGACUUAAAACAACUUCAUUAAUGGGACAUGGAACUCAAUGAGAUGAUGUGUGGAAGAAAACUUGCCGUCGAUCUGGUUUACUCUGCAUCACAUUUCAGCUGAAAAGGCAGACAGAUCUCACACACAAUGGAGAGUCCGACUGGAAGAAGAAGGAGAAGUAGUUCCAUUCGUCACAAGAUACUUAACCCACAACUCCAUCGUCCCUACAUUUGCAGAAAAACCCCUUUCGACCAUUUCUCCAACAAGUUGUGCUGCUCUCAUAUUUUCUUUAUUUCUUAGAAGCCCUUGGAUGAUGGUGUUAUAAGUGACACCAUCUGGAAUGCAUCCAUUUCCUUCCAUCUCCUUUAGCAGCUCAUAUGCUUCCUCCAUGCAUCCUCCUUUGCACAAUCCAUGCGUGACAAUAUUAUAUGUCUGCACAUCAGGUUGCAAGCCUCGAGCAUUCAAACAAUCAAACAACCCCUUAGCAUCGUCGAGCUUUCCAGCAUUACACAUGCCAUUCAUUAUAAUAUUGUAAGUCACAAUGUUUGGGACGAAUUUGGAACCUUCCAUCUUUCGAAGCAAUAUCAUGGCCUUGUCAAUCUGUUGCGUUUUACACAGGCCAUCCAGGAAAGAAUUCAAGGUAUAAUGAUCUAGAUACAGAUCGCGAGAUCGCAUCUCGUUAAUUAGCUCCCCCGCGGCUUCAAGGUUCCCAACCUGGCAAUAUCCAUUUAUGAGAGUGUUGUACGUGAUGACAUCAGGAUUCAAGCCCCUUUGAAGCAUUUCUUGGAAAAGCAUCUUUGACUUGUCAACUCUUUUCCCUUUGCAGUAUCCAUUAAUCAAUGUGUUAUAAGAAACGACAUUAGGUGAGCAGCCUCUUUCAACCAUCAAAUUAAGAACCGCCAUAGCAUCAUCCAUCCUAUUUUGCAAACAAUAACCAUUCAUCAAUGUACUAUAAGUGAAACUAUCAGGCAUUUUACCUAAUUGAAUCAUCUGGUUGAUUAUGGCCUCUGCUUCUACAAACAUUCCCUCUUUACAAUGUGCAUCCACCAGAAUAUUGAAGGUUUGAACAUUGGGCAUGACUCUGCUUUGCACCAUAUGACUCAGCAGUCUUUGGGCCUCUUUCAAUUGGCCGGAAUUGCACACUCCUUGAAUGACAGAGGUAUAAGUAACGACGUUCGGUUCAAUUCCUGACUUCAUCAUCUUCUCCAACAAGACUGUAGCAUCUUUCCAUUGGCCUAGCUUGCACAAGUAAUGAACCAAGGAGCUAUAAGUGAAUAUGUCGGGUUGGAUGCCUCCGCUUGUCAUCUCUUUCAACAAUAUGAGAGCAUCUUCCAUCUGACCUACAUCGCACAGACCAUGGAUCAAGGUGUUAUAAGUAACGACAUUUGGUUCGACGCCUUUCUUGCUCAUAAUGCCGUGGAGUCUCAACGCCUCUAUGAUGAAUCCCUUCUUGCAAAGACUAAAUAUUAUUAUGCUGUAUGCGAAGGAAUUGAUGCUGCAGCUUCUCUCUUCCCAGUCCCUUAGCAAUUCGAUCGCCAAUCUGGUGUUACCCAUCCUGCAUAACCCCUUGGCGAUUAUGGCAUACGUGGUCUCAUCAGGUUCGGGGCCAUUUCGUCCCAUAUCAUCGAGGAACCUCAAGGCUUGAUCAGUUUUGCCCUGAAUAAAGAGACCAUCAAUCAGGGUGUUCCACGUCACCA